RNAcentral lists this long non-coding RNA (75246 nucleotides) under Citrus sinensis (sweet orange). Its description in RNAcentral is "long non-coding RNA (CSIN_LNC002299)". The record is from RNAcentral. Lineage: Eukaryota; Viridiplantae; Streptophyta; Magnoliopsida; Sapindales; Rutaceae.
AUUAAUUCCUUCUCCUAAUUGCCAUUACCGAACUUAUUCUCAAGAUCUUUCACUACCUUUGGGUCCAACUGGAAUGCCUUGGCAAGAAAAUCGGGUUUGAUUCGAGGAUGGGCUCCAAAGAUCGUGUCGGCUAUGGUAAUUUCACCGGGGAACUGGCUGUUUAGACCAGAAUAGGCAACUGCACUUGUGUUUCCAAUGUUGACAUGGAAGUGAAUCAAACCAAUUGGAAACACAAAAACAUCUCACUCAUGCAGAACUUUUGUGAUGAGUGUGUUAUUUAGGUUGUCUGAUGUCACAAAACCAGAAUAAAGAGUUCCUUCCAGGACCAACAGUAUUUCGCUGGCACGGGGGUGAAUGUGAGGCGGGCUUUGCCCAUUCGGCGCAUAGUCAAUACGGAAUGCUGAUACGCCAAGGGUGUUGUCCUGGAAUUUGCUCAACAUUUGCAUGUGUUUCAUUAACACCAAGUCGAUUUGUUGUGUUUCCAGGCUUGUUUAGCCCUGACAAGAAGAAAUCUUCAGCUGUCGCAAGCUUGGGGUCCUUGCAGAACUUCCCAUUCACAAACACUACAAGAACACACACACACAUACACACACAAAGGGGGAAAAAAAGAAUAAUUAACUAGCAGCACAAAUUAUAUUGAAAAUUAUAUGUUUCAUCAGUUCAGCUUACGUACCACCAUCCUUCGGGUCAUCGAUGGCUACACAGAUAUCUUGAAGAAGGCUAGGGUCAUAGGCAGGGGCCAAAGAAGAAGCCAAAGCCAAGAGAGCAAAACCUAUAAGAAAUUGAAUUGCCUUCAUGGUGAUUAAUUAACAGGAUGUACUUAUAUCUCAAACUAUAAUCAAGUGUUGUGAUUUGAGAAUAAUGCGAGGGAAACUAGCCUAUUUAUAGAAGGGAGUCCGUGAACGAGUCUGUGUCAAUUUCUUAGGACUCGAAGCAGGUCAAGACUUACUGAGUCCCAAUUGGUUAUCUUUCUUUUAAUUUAUAUUUUGAAGACAAUAUGUUUAAUCAAUGUACACAAUUGCCAUAUUUGACUAUAAUAAAUUAAAUUUUUGCCUACUUGGUCUAUGACAUAGUUUUUAACAUGGACAUAAUCAUUGCCCCCUUUAAGAGAAGAUUAUUCCAUUUGAUACUCAUUUUUUUAGCAGCAAUGUUACUGCAUAAAAUUUUAUACCAUCUUCGAAAAAUUGUUGAACACUCUCUAUAAAUUGUUUUAACCAUAUGAAGGCCUUGAUUGGUUGUUAUCGUGGUUAGGCCUUUGUAGCCUAAGAGCUAUAUAUUUUAUCUUAUACUUUAUGAUGAAAAUCAUAUAAUAUUUUUAUUAUUUUUUGUUAAAAUUAUUAUUUAAAAGUUAUUUGUUAUAUACUAUCAAUUUUUAUUUGAUACUUAUAAUUUUUUUUAUAACAACUAUAACAUUUUUGAACUACAAUAUCUCAAUAUCAAACAAAACAUGAAUUAAAACAUAAUAGAGAGAACGAAGACAUGAAUUAAAAAGUUCCAAUCAAGAGUGUCAAAAGCAUUUUUAAUGUCAAUCUUCAAGGCAACAUUCCCUCCAUGACUCUUGCGAUUGAGCAGAUUAAUUCAUUCAGAAAUAGAGCUGAGACACUCAUGAAUGUCUGUCCUUGAUGAAAACCGUUUGUUGAGACGAGAUAAUGUUAGGAAGCAAAGAACUUAAUAUGUCAGCAAGAAUUUUAAAAAGUACACAUCCAACGAAAGUUUUCGUAGUAUGAUAGUUUUGUGCAGUAACAUUAGUUUUAUAUGUAACUAUGACACCAAACAUCACUCAUUUAUCUUAAUUACCUUGUACAUGUGGUAUAAAAUCUUUAAAAACUCAAGAGAAAUUAAAUUAAAAACUCUAGGAUAAAUUAAAAAAAUUAAAAACUAGGGAUAAAUUAAAUUAAAAGAGGAUCCUAUUUCCUUGAUCUGAAUUCUCAUGAUCUUUUAAAGAUUUGUACCGCAUAUCCCUUAGUGCUGGUAUAUAAUUAUGUUUUAACUACUUUUAUUUUUUAAUUUAUUAACCACCAGUAAAUUGAGUAUAUUUAAAUUUUUAACUUAGGAACAUAUCAGAUUAUGAAAGGAUUCUAAUCCCUCAAAAAAACAUAAAAUACAGUUGUCCAGUAAUUUUUAUAAAAUUAUUUUCCUGUAGGACUAAUAUCUGCAAAAUAUUGAAGUAUAUGCAAUUGGACAAUUAAGGGCUGUUCGGAAUGUCUUGCAGCCCUCGUUUUCAUUUUUGUUUUCAAAAUUUACGUGUACAACUUGUUCGGUGGGUCACAUCUUAGAUGCAAAUUGUAAAACAUACAAAACAAAGCCUGGCUGACUGUAAUAAAACCCAAAACAGGUUAUACACGUUUCCGCUAAUCUUCUAAACGAACCAUAAAAUAAAAUAAGAAACAAUAUUUUAACGCCUUUUCGAAAGCAUAAUUAAAGUAUAAUUUUUUCCUCUCAUCUUCUUCCUUUCUCUCCCUUACCAAGUUAUACAUGUCACUGCUUUUUCCAUUUUUAUCCAUCAUUUUUUCAAUUGACUUUGUACUUUUCUUCAAUUUACUCAACUCAUUUGAGAAAACGAGUUAAAGAAUUUAUGAAAAUGGGUGAGAAAGAAAUUCAUAUCUCUGGCAACAGACUAACAGUUGGGAGUCAUGUUCCGUGGAUAUCGAUGUUACCGGACUUGAUUGGUUUGUUGUUGGACUUAAUGGAGAGCCACUAUUAGCCUUUUUGUUUUUCCUUUUCAUAGCAAUUUUGGUAGGUGCUUUGAGCAUUCUUAGUUCUAUAAAUGCUUUACCAAGUCAAUGAUGCGCAUGUUUUUUUUCAUUGCGCGUUGAAGUCAUCAAAUCAUCUGCUUCAAGAAAAAACGUGAAUACUGGGAUCAGAAGGAACCAAAAUUCUUCCAUCUUAUUUUCAGUGGUCAGGUUAAUUCGAAGCUGGAGCCGGAACUUUUUGUUAGAGGUAGUGAUAUCCUUUUACAAUGACAAUUGGUAUAUAUAUAAUUUAAAGUUUAAAAGUUAAUUUUAAUGUUUGCUAAAUUUUUUAAAAAAUUUAUUUUUAAUAAAAUCAUCUUAUCUUACACCAGAUUUAAAAAAAUAAAAAAAGUAGUUUUUUAAAAUCGGAUUUCGAGAAUCACUUUUAUAAUUGUUAUCAAUUAUAUUGAGAUAAUAAAAUAAAAAAUACGAUUAAUAAUAUAAAAUAUUUAUUUUAGUUAUCAAUUAUUAUAUAUACACAACUAAAAAUAUUUUAUUUAUAUGUUUAUAAAUGUGUAAAUAAAUUUUAUUUAACAAUAUAUUCAAUUCAUUCAUUUACAUUCCUACAACAUUUUAAUAUUAACAUUUACCAAACACAUGAUUAAUUGAUUCUUUAUAUAGCUUAUUAUUUUUAUAGUGUGACUAACAUUAAUUAUUUUAAAAGUUAUAACAUUAUUUUUAUAGUGUAACUUAAUUGAUUAAAAUUAAGUUAUUUAAAUCAUUAAGUUACGAAAACAGACAACCCUUUAGUAAAUUUCUUAAUGUAAAUAUUAGUAAAUUAUAAUGCAAACAAAAAUAAUAAUCUCUUAUGUCUUCACUUUUUUAAUUAAAAUUAGUUUCAUUAUCUAUUUUGAAUAACAAACUGAAUUGAUCACGAAAUAAUAAUCUCUUCUUCCAAUCAUAUGAGUGGGUUUGAGUCACUCAGGUAUAGAGAUGGCCAAUGGGUCGGGCCGGCAGCAAGGCCUAUGCAUGCUUGUGCCCAUGUUGUGUCAUGCCCACUAUAUGUUUCGUGCUGUGCCAUGUCCACUCGUGCUGUGCCCACACGUGUCGUGCCUAAAAAAAAAAAAGCCCAAUAAGCUUUUUUUCUUUUUUUUCUUAAAUUUUUUAAGAGCGCAUGCCAAGCUAUUAGCAUACUUUUUUCAAGUCUAUAUACUUUUUUUAGGUAUAUGCCUUUAUUCAAAUUUAAUAGAAUCAAAAUUCAAAACUCAAGUCCAUAUUCAAUAAAAAUAAAUUAAUAAUCGUAAGAGAACGUAAUAUUAAUUACUAAAUUUGACUUCAUAGUAUUAGAUUUUUUUUAAUACUUAACAACAACAACAACAACAACAAUAAUAAUAAUACUGAUAAAUUUUUCUUAAGGGUUAACUUAAAUGUUAACUUGGACUUACAUGGAGUUAUAGAUCAUAGUACACAAUAAUAUUAAUGCAUAUUUAUAAAAUCAUGAUAUUUAUAAUUUUAUUCAUUAAAAAAAUAUUUAUUUAAUAAAUUAUCAAUAUAAACCAAUUAUAGUAUUUUUUUAAACUAAGAAUUAAAUGAAUUUAAAAAUUCAAUUUCAGGUUAUUUGUAAAAUCAUAAAAUUUUAAGUGUAUUUUCAUUAAAAAAAUAAAACGUGCUUAUUGUGAGCUUUUUCAUUGUGCCGUACUUAGCCCAUCUCUAAUCGUGUCGUGCUUUUAAGGCUCGCAUGCCUAAAAUUCUAAGCCCGGCCCAACCCACGUGCAUGCCGUGCUGUGCCGCGUGCCCCACAGAAGCGUGCUCGUGUUGUGCUAUGCUAUACGGACAUGUGUCGUGUCACGUGCCCAUUGGCCAUCUCUACUCAGGUAGUCGUGGGAAUUUGUUUUCUUUGAUUUCUACGCUUGGCUUUUUAGAAUUAUUUGUAAGGGCAUUAAUUGUGUAUUUUUAAUGGGUUUAUAUGUUAAUUAUAUUGUAUGUAGUAUUAAAGGUUUGUCAACCAAACUAGCAACCAUUUAAUUAGUUAAAAUGCAUUCAUGUCAGUAUUUAAGAUACGUAUCACUUUCCGACAACCAUGUUAAUAUAUGUUUCCGUUCGAACUUUCCACUCGCUGCUUGACCCAUGUAAGUUAUAAAAAAGUUUCUGAGAAAAUGAAAAAAUAAUCCAUGGCCAUGGAAAUAAUAAAACGCCGCCAGGAGUAUUGUAUAAUUCUAGGAGCGAUUUAUCAUUUCUUUUUCCUUUUUGCUUUUUAUUUCAACAAUUUAUUAUUGACUAGUGUAUUGCAGGCUUGCGGCAAUUAAGUGUUUGGAUCAUUUAUCCCCCUUUUUUUCAAAUAUAAGCCAGAUAUAACUCCAGAUUAUGCUGGUAGAAACAUCGUCUCAAAGAUUCUAUUGGGUUAUCAAUAGCUGUAUAUGAGUGUAUCUUGAAGAGGGCUAAUUUUUCUAGGAUAUGCUGCUAGAAAAUUUUGCAGCACGUAACUACUAUGAAUUAGUCUUUGUUGUUUAAUUAAGACUCUAAUCUUCCUUUCUAGAAUGCAAGAUAAAAAAUUAAGCUAGAAACAUUAUAUCAAAGUAAUGAAUAGUUACACAUUUUUGUUAAAUAUAAUUCUAGACUUUCCGGUCACACAUUUUACCGUUUAGUCCAUAAUUUUUCAAAAUACCUAUUGCAUUUCUAAUAUUAUACUUUUAUGUUCGAAUUACUCUGUUGAAGUAUACAUGAGACUUUUUACCAUAUAGCACCCUCCAUACCUUUUAGCGGGGGAAUUAAAAAAAAAAAAAAAAAAAGAGCGCAUCAUAUUAGACAAAGUGCAUGUUUGUAUGACUUAUUUAAUGGUCAUAAGUACUUAUUUAAUAUCAUAAGUUCCUUUUUAAAUUAGGGGUGUUCGCGGAUCGAAUUUUACAAAUUGGAUAUCAAUCCAUAUCCGAUCCAUGAUUUUGUGAAUUAUAAAUUUUUAAUCCAAUACGAUCCACGGAUUGAUGAACUCAAUCCAAAUUCAAUCAAUACGUCUGAGGAUCAGAUGCGGAUUUGACUCAAUUAUCCAUAUCCAAUCCACAAUUUUACGGAUUGGUUUGCAGAUUAAAAAUUUUUAAUUAUGUCUUAUCUACGAACUAACUAAAUAAAAAAAUUAAUAUAAAAAUAAGUUUACUACUGAUCAAAUUCAAAAUUAAAUAAGAUUUAAAUAAAUUAAUUGUUUAAAUAAAGUUAGAAAAUACUUUUAAAGUUUCAAAAUAUAAUACGUCAAAAAGAAAAAAAUCAUUUGUUUAUAUCAGUAUAUAAAAAUUAACUACUUAGUUAUAUAUAUAUAUAUAUAUAUAUAUAUAUAUAUAUAUAUAUAUAUAUAUAUAUAUAUAUAUAUAUAUUGCGGAUUCACGGAUUUUUUACGGAUUUAUAGAAGUAAAUCCAUAUCCAAUCCACCGAUUACGGAUUUCCAAAUUUUCAAUCCAAUCUAAUCCAUCAAUCCACGAAUCACAUUUUUUACGAAUCAGAUUUCUACGGAUUAGAUGGAUUGAGCGGAUCGGAUUGGAUUCUGAACACCCUAUUUAAAAUUAUUGUUGUUAUUUGAUUGUAUUUUAAGUAGAGUUUUUAAGAAUUAAGUAAACUCUUUUGUCUCAACUAGUAAAAACUUAAAUUUUGAGCUUUAAGACGUAAAGGUUGGAGGGCCCUUUUCAAAAGUUAAAUUGACUAAAAUGUUCCGUUAUUUAUUUCACAAUAUAAUGACAUCCCUUUCAUAACUUUAAAACUUGUCUAUUAAAAUGAUUUUAUAUAAUUUUUAAUAAUGCUCUCAGUGACAACUAAACAAUUAAAUUUUUUUGAUAACAUUCUACUUGUAAAACUUUUAUUAAUAAAAGCUUUAUUUGAAUAAGCCUUAUCAUAAAACUUUACCAAACAAAGCCUAAUAAUAAGAUUAUAAUAGUAGAAGAAUUCAAAAAAUGUAUUCUUAAUAUUACAAGUUUACAAUUAUUAAGUUGGGAAUGAAAUAGGUAUGUUUAAAAUUACAUUGAUUACUUGGUCACUGAUGAGGUGAGGAUUGGAUGGCCACAUUUAACUUUUGAUGAAUUGUGUCAUUACUGCUUUUCUAACAUGUCUCUAUUGAAAAGUCAAAAUAGCUUUUUGACAUGCAUAACCUUCUAGCCGCAAUAUUGGAAAUAUUGAUGAAGCAUGUGGAUGGAAUCAUGGAAAAUGAAGCCAAAUGAGUUGGUGAAGCAUGUGACAGUUUGACAAAUUCACAACAACUUUAACAAUUUGGCAAAUUGUUGGUGAGCGCCGAAUUUAUAAUAGUGCAAAAUACUUCCUAUAAAUAGAGGGAGUUUUUCAUUUGUUAAGCAUCCCAAAAAUUUGUUAAGCUUAUAAGUUUCUAAGCUUUUGAGAGUCCUGAGAGUGUGAGCAAUUGGAGAGUGUGUGUGAGAGUACUGGGUGUAUUUGGAUUCUCGAAAAGUGAGGUUUCUUUACUCAAAUUUGUACUCAAAAGAUAAUUGUUAAUAAUACAAUUAUUUUUCUCUUGCUCCCGCGGACGUAGGCAUAUUGCCGAACCACGUAAUUCUUGUGUCCUUUAUUUUUCUAUGAUUAUUCGGUGCGCUUGAUUCCCAUUCCGCGCACAACAAGUGAUAUCAGAGCCGACAGUUCGUACUUAGGGGAUACGACAUUGUUCACGUAUACGGUACUGUUCACGAAUAUGGUGGAGACGACCAUUUAUACUUGGGAGACAAUCUAUUGUAAGUAGUGUGUAUUUUUUCAUGUCUAGGAAAGUUCUAUCAACAAGGCGAUAAGAGUCUAAGGAUUCUGGUUUUUAAUUGGGAUCGAGUUCCCGUCCAGUUUCCUGGGAACUUUCCUAGUGCAUUUAUUCAAGCAAAAUUAACAUCAUAGUGACUGUUUUUCAAGUGAAAAUAAGUCGUUGAGAAAAUGAUAAAAGGUAAAACUUCCAAAAUUGGGGAGAGAUCUACCGAUACUAUUUCAGGAGACACUUCAGGUGGGAGGCGAGAUUUGUCAAAUCGCUAUUCUAUUUAGCACUUGUUAUAGGAGGCCAGAAAAUCGAUGUUGAAAAGUUUGAUGGGAAAAUCAACUUCGGCAUGUGGAGGCGCGAAGUUAUGGAUGCCCUUAUUCAAAUCGAUCUCGAUGUUGUUCUGAAAAAUAAAAGAGAUAUGUAUGAUGAAGAAAUUUAGGAUCGUAUGAACGAGAAAGCUUGUGGUCAAAUCAAAUCUUGUUUGACCAAAGAGGUGAAAUACUUGGUGAAAGAUGAGGAGUGUACGAUGACUUUGUGGUGUACAUUGGAGGAGAAGUGCCUGCUGAAAAGUCCUGAAAAUCGUCUUCAUGUAAUGAGCCAAGUAUAUGGCUUUCGAAUGAAGCCUGAGGUGUCAAUGCAUGAUCAUGUCUCAAGAUUGAAAAGUUACUUGCUGAUUUGAAAAAUUUUGAUGAAAAUAUUAAGGAUGAAGUCAAGGCUAUGAUUUUGUUACACUUACUAUCAGAGGAAUAUAGCCAUUUUGUGACUACCUUGAUAUAUGAGAAGAGUGUGAUCGUCUUCGAAGAUGUUUGCACAACAUUGACUAACUUGGAGAUUCAGAAUAAUGAUAAAAUUUCUAAACGAGCAUCGUCUGAAGCUUUGGUGAGCAGAGAUUGGGCAAUGGAGAAAAAGAAGAAGCGUGGUGGAAAGAAUUCUCGAUCCAAAUCGAGAAGCAGAAAUAUAGCUGGAGAUGAGUGUGUCUUUUGUCAUGAAAAGGGCCAUUGGAGGAAAGAUUGUCCAAAGGCUCAAAAGAGAGAUGGAAAGAAACCAGCAGCAGUAAACAUGACACGUAAAGAUGAGGACUCUGAUUAUUCACGAAGUAUUACUCCUGUAGCAUACGUGGCUAGUUCGAGUGAGUGGAUACUUGAUACUGGAGCAACCUAUCAUUUGUGUCAUAUUAAGGAAUGGUUUACGAAUUUUCAUAAUUUGGAAUCUGGUACAGUUGUGAUGAGGAAUGAUCAACCUUGUCGCAUAAUAGGGAUAUGAACAAUUCGGCUCAAAAUGUUUGAUGGAAUGGUCAGAAAACUGAAAAAUGUUAGAUAUUUUCUAACUUUAAAGAAAAAUCUAAUUUCGGUGGGUGCUCUAGAAGCUAAAGGCUACAAGGUUACUAUUGAAAAUAGCAUAAUGAAGUUCACGUAUGGGGCUAUGGUGAUUGUGCAAGGGGUUUGGCAUCACAAUUUGUACUAUUUGAAGGGAGAUACAACUGAUGAAGUAAAUGUUGCUGAGGCGUACAGUGACACCACCAAGCUAUGGCAUGUACGACUGGAACAUAUUGGAGAGAAGUUUUUACAAACUCUGAUGAAGCAAAGACUCUUAAAAUGUACCAAAACCUGUAAAUUAAAUUUCUAUGAGUAUUGUGUAGUACGCUAGAAAACAAGGGUCAAGUUUGGUACAGCUAAUCACGAUACUCGUGAGAUCCUUGAAUAUGUUCACAGUGAUGUAUUGGGACCAACCAAGACUGCAUCAAUUGCUGGAAGCUAUUAUUUUGUUACAUUUCUCUAGACAUGUGUGGGUGUACGCCAUGCGAGCAAAUGAUGAGAUUCUAGAGAUUUUCGUGAAAUAGAAGAAAUUAGUGAAGACUCAAACUGGUAGAAAGAUCAAAGUAUUACGAUCUGAUAAUGGAGGUGAAUAUACUUCUAAUCCAUUCUUGCAAAUAUGCAGAACGAGGGUAUUAAAAAACAUUUCACGGUGAGACAUACUCCGCAACAUAACGGUGUGGCUGAGCGUAUGAAUCGUACUUUGCUGGAGAAAGUACGAUGUAUGUUAUCUAAUGCUGGUUUAGAUAAAAAGUUUUAAGCUGAGGCUGUGAGUUACGCAAGUCACUUAAUAAAUUGAUUGCCUUCUGUUGUAAUUGGAGGUAAAACUCCUAUGGAAAUGUGUUCUAGAAAGCAUGCACAAGACUAUGAUUCCCUUCGUAUAUUCAGGUGUUCAGCUUAUUAUCACGUCAAAGAUGGUAAAUUGGAUCCUCGUGCUAGAAAAGCUAUCUUUGUGGGAUUCAAAAGUGGAGUAAAAGGCUUCAAGCUUUGGGAUAUCGAAGACAAAAAGUUUGUGCGUAGCAGAGAUGUUACGUUUGAUGAAGCUUCAAUGAUGAAAACUUCAAGUUCUCAACAAGUGGAGAACAAGACCACAUAGGUAUUGUAGCGGGUGGAGUUUGAUGCAACUCCAUAUGUACCAGUUAGUUCUACAUCAGAGAAUGGUUUAACUAUGGAGGUGACACCUAGAGUUGAAAAAGAUAUUGUUUCUUCUGGUGUCCCACAAAAUGAAGAAACAAAUUAAAUCUUCAUUUUGUGGGACACCAGAAGAAACAAUUGAUGAUGUAAAUAAUGAUGAUUCUUGACACGACUUAAAAGUGUUUGAUUUUCUCCCAAGUAUAAGAGUGCCUAGUUAUAAUAUAUCUCGGUGAAUCCGAGGUCGAACUACAGAGAAAAGAUUUAAUUUGUUUACUGAAGUUUAUCCAAAAAAAAAAUUUAUAAAUAUGUAAUUUAUUUAAGAAAAAGUAUAAAAUUGAAUUAAAAUUAUUUUUAUUUUUAUUUUAUUUCCCAAAAGAUUAAUUGUAUAAAUUAAAAUUAUUUUCCCAUUUAUUUUAUUGUGGAUUAAGAAUUUAAUGUGCCAAAACUUAAUUUGUCUGCACUAAAUCAAAAUACAAUUUUUCCAUAUUUUAUACUAAGAUAUUAAGAAUUUAUUGUGCCAAAUUCCUAUUUUUGUCUACACUAAAUCAAAAUUUCAAAAUAUAAAAUAUGGAUAAAAUUAAAUAGAAAACAAUUUAAUUUAUAAAAUUAAAAAUAGAAUUUGAUUAAACCAUAUUUUUUACUAAGAGUUUCACCUUCCCCUAACUAUGAAUAUUUAGUUAAACAUUUUUGAAAUAAAGGAAAUUAUUACAAUUGAAAAACACAUAAAAAAAUGGAAUUUGAAAAUUGAAAUAAAACUAAUUUUAUUGAUUGAAAAUAUAUUACAAGAGAGAUGAGAAGAAGAAUUUGAGGGGAAAGAAGGGAAGAGAAGGUGUGUAGAGGUGUGUUCACCCCCCCUCUCUAUUUAUACUAAUACAUGAUAAAUCCACACCACACAAAUAAAAAAAUCUAAUUACAUAUUAACCUUACAUUUGUCCCACUAAUAAUUCCACUAAUAAAACAUAAAUCUAACUUAUCAACUCAAGCAUAUACAACACAUUCAACUAAAAAUUACCAUACCUAACAUGAUAAAAACUUAUAAUUUUACAAUUACCACAUUUACCGUGGUAAAAACGUAAAAAUUUACAACAAAAGUCUCAGCUCCUCCUCGACAAUGACAUAAUUUCUUGAACUUCCGGAAUUCAAAUUUGACAUCCAUACAUUUGUUCGGAGCCUCAAAAUGCAUGAAAUUAUUAUUUUUACCUAAUAAACACACAAAAAUACACAAAAUCAAAUAUUUAGAAAAAUAAUUAGAAAUUCACAAUAUGUUAGACAAUUACAAAUAUAAAUUACAUUAAUAGCACAAAAUAACAUUUUUAUCCCUUAAUAAAUAUACAAUUUUUAACACUAAUCAAUUCUAUAGCAAUAAGGAGGCUAAGUAGAGAGAUAAAGAAACUCGGAUGGCUUACUAAAGACAUGGUGGUAACCUAUACACUUCCAGUUAUUGAUAAUGACAUUCCUAGCACUUUCGGUGAAGCAUUACACAGUAGUGAAAGUGAUCAAUGGAAGUUAGCCAUGGAAGAAGAGAUGAAAUCUCUCCAUCAAAACCAGACUUGGGAACUUACCAAAGGGGAAAAGGGCUAUUGGCAAUAAAUGGGUCUACACCAAGAAGCAGGGAUCUCCGAAUCAAUCAACUCCUCGAUAUAAGGCAAGACUCGUUGCAAAAGGUUUUGCUCAGAAGGAAGGUACUGACUACAAUGAAGUUUUCUCUCCAGUUGUAAAACAUACUUCCAUUCAUAUCCUACUUGCCUUAGUUGCACAAUAUGAGUUAGAGUUGGCUCAAUUGGAUGUUAAGACGACAUUCUUACAUAGAGAUUUGGAGGAGAAAAUCUAUAUGACUCAACCUUGUGGUUUCAAAGUUGCUGGAAAGGAGAAUCGUGUGUGCAGAUUGAGUAAAUCUUUAUACAGAUUGAAACUAAUUAUUCGAAUGCGUUGAGUUUGGAGAAUUAUGAACUACGGUUGGCUUGAUCCCAUAUUUUGGGUACGUAGGCAGUCGAAGCGACACAUCCAUUUUGGAUCCUUAUUGAAGGAUUACAUUAGGGAUGAUGGUUCGUUUGUAGUUUGCUCAAAUUUGGACAACUUUUCGCCGAUGUGGAGAAUUGUUGAAAAGUCAAAACAACUUUUUGACAUGCAUAACUUUCUAGCCGCAAUAUUGGAAAUAUUGAUGAAGCAUGUGGAUGGAAUCAUGCAAAAAUGAAGCCAAAUGAGUUGGUGAAGCAUGUGAUAGUUUGACAAUUUCACAACAACUUUGACAAUUUGGCAAAUUGUUGGUGAGCGCUGAAUUUGUAAUAGUGCAAAAUACUUCCUAUAAAUAGAGGAGUUUUUCAUUUGUUAAGCAUCCUAAAAAUUUGUUAAGCUUAUAAGUUUCUAAGCUUUUAAGAGUUCUGAGAGUGUGAGCAAUUAGAGAGUGUGUGUGAGAGUACUGGGUGUAUUUGGAUUCUGGGAAAGUGAGGUUUCUUUAAUCAAAUUUGUACUCAAAUAUUUGUUAAUAAUACAAUUAUUUUUCUCUUGCUCCCGUGGACGUAGGCAUAUUGCCGAAUCACGUAAUUCUUGUGUCCUUUAUUUUUCUAUGAUUAUUCGGUGCGCUUGAUUCCGCAUUCCGCACACAACAGUCUCUUUAUUACAGUUUGUUUCACCUUUGCGCUAUGCCCAUAUUUAUUCGGAAAAGCUUGUGCUUGUCCCUCAUUGCUACUCUGUUAAGGAUUAUAAACAGGUAUAUCUUUGAUAUAUUUGGUAACAGUAAAUCCUUAUAUGGCUUUAUAUCAUCUUUUUUUAAUCCUCCUUCAAAAGCAGGGGAAGUUAUCUUCGUAACAAUCUGCAUUCCGUGGAUUGUUUCCUUUUGUCCAUGAAAUAUUUAGUUCAAUUUAUUUAGCACUUUAGUUUGAAUGAAGCUUGUUGGGGAAUUAAUGUAGAAAUGAAGAUCUUGCUUGUUUUUUCAAUUAUGUGGAUGAAGCUUUGACCUAGGAACUUCUACUGUAGUCUAGAGAAUAUUGUUUCUUCUAUAUCGAUGUGAUGAACUGGGUAAUUUUUGUCAAAGGUGUUUGAAAGUUUUAUAUUUGCUGUAAUCUUUCUGUUCAUUUGUUGCAUAAAGCAUGUUGGAGAUUCAAUGUAGAAAAAGGAAUCUUGAUUCUUUCUUUAGUUAUGUGGAUAAAGCUUUGAUUUAGGAACUUCUUCUCUAGUCUGAAUAAUAUUAUCUUCUUCUAUAUGGAUAUGAUUAACUGGGUGAUUUUGACAAAGGCUUUUGAAAGUUUUCUGUUUCUGAAAUCUUUCGGUUUUAUUUGUUGCAGAUGACAAACCUCUAUUUAUUCUUUUGCCCAAACAACUUCGGGUAGUUAGGAAGAAUAUUUUUGUGAGACUAAAAUCCAUAAAUAUAUGGAGCAUCACCUCUGUAUAUUGGAGAGCUAUGAGAGAUCAACUAGUCAGAGGUUAAAACGGUUUGGGAUCCUGUUACAAUGUAUUUAGGUUUUGUUUGGGAAGUUGUGCUGUUUCAACUUUGUUAUUUAGCUUUGCUUCUUCAGUUAUCUGUUGCUCUGUGUACGUCGGUUGCUUAUUUAUAAGCACUUCUCAUUGCUUCAUUUCUAAUAUAGAAUGAACCCACAAUUAUGUAUGACAGAACCAAUGUUACAAAGAUAGUUCUGGCCAUUUUUGUAGAGGUGGCCAUUUUAGUUCUCAUUUAGUUUGCUUACAAUGAUUUUUGGACUUCUGUUUUAUGGCAGAAAUCCACAAAGGCAGUCUUUUGAAACAGCAAUUGCAUACUCUUGGCGUGAAUGCAUUGAUGUCUCUUCAGCAUUUUCACAUCUUUUUAUGCUAUAGCCGAGAAUUGGGCCAGAAGUAAAUCCUUGAUUAUGCGUAAACCGAUAACCAUCAAAAGCCAAUUAAAUUGCCUUUCCUAACCCAAAAGUAUCCUAAUCCAAUGUUUGCUAUAUGAUUUCAAACCAAGUUCAAUUUGUUCAAUUCAUAAUUAAAUGGCGAAGAGAAUAUUUUAAUGAGUUCAAAUAGUUCCACUUUAUUAAUAACUUGGUAGAAACCUAAUGAAAGUGAGGGUAUUGGAGUCUCUUUAUUUGAGAGUAUUUUCUCUUAUUUAUUUAUUAUUUUAGAUUUCUAUGCUGUAUUUUUCUGGUUUAUUAAAAAACAAAUCCUCCUUCAAAACAUUUCAUAAUUUUAUGAGCAUUAUAAAAUUAUAUCUUUAAACCACACGGUUUAAGAGCUUUCUCAAUUUUUACUGCAUUUUAAAAUUCCUGAUUGGAAUAUAUAUAUAUAUAUAUAUAUAUAUAUAUAUAUAUAGUAACUAAACUAUGUCUCCAUGCAACUAGUUGGCCCCGAACUUUGCUUGAAGGGAUUUCACUACGCUUGAAGAGUUUUCACUACAUAUGGAUCAAGUUGGAAUGCCCUGGCGAGAGCAUAAGGAUCAAUUGGUGGAUCAAAUCCGAAGACUGCAUCUGCAAUUGUAAUAAUGCUAGGAUUCUGGCUGCUCAAAGCAGCAAUGGCAAACAGCAUUGGUUGUUCCAAUAUUCACUUUGAAAUGAAUGAGCCCAAUUGGAAACAUAAAUACAUCUCCUUUGUUCAGGGCUCUGGCGAAGAGUGCGUUAUUAAGCUGGUUUGAUGUCACAAAGCCAACAAAGAGAGUGUCCUCCUGGACUACUGGGAUUUUUGUGGCACGAGGCUGAGUGUGAGGUGGGUUUGGCCGCCGUUUGCCGCGUAGUCAAUACAAACUACGGAUAUGCCGAGUAGUGUUGAGCCCUAGAAUCUGUUCUACAUUUACAGUUGUGACUAUUGAGCCCACUGGAUUUGCUGUACUUUUAGGGAUAUUGUGCCCUGAAAAUCAAUCAAAACUACUUGUUAAAAAGAUUCUGUUUCGUUUUUAUUUUUUGUGUCUUUUACUAUUUUAUCCCCAUAAUUAGACUUAUGAUACACAAAGGUCAACAAUUAAUCAAUAAAAGGAAAAAAUUAAUCAUAAGUCUGAUAUUAAUGGUAAAAUAAAAAUAGACAAAAAAUUAGAAAGUUCAUUUAAUCAUUUUAAUGCCAAAGAGUUUUAAUGAGUUUUGAAACGUAAGGAGAGAAAUAGUAGAUUUACUUGAACAAUAAGAGGAUUUUAUCAUUUUCCCACUCAUAUACAGAAAAAAGAUACACCCCACAUGUCUUGAACUUGAAAUCAUUGAUGGCAACACAAAAAUCCUGGAGAUGGCUAGGGACAGAGGCAGUGGCCAAUGAACAAGCCAAAACCAUGAGGACAGAAGCUACAAGAAAUUGAACUCCUUUGAUGUUGAUUACGCUAGGUAUGUGUCUAUCUCAAAUUCUUUCCAACUCUAGGGGGUGAGAAAUGAAUUAUGGCAUAAGUAGCCUUUCAUAGUCGGAUUGAAUUAUAACGAUCCAAAGACUUACCAAGUUUAUUGGUUCUUUUUUUUCAUGCGUUAUAAAUGAAGAUUAGUGAAUUCUCCACGAGUAUGUACAUAACUGUCCUUAGAUUAUUUAUUUUGCUAAUUUGUUAAUGUUCAACAGAUAAUUUUUUAAUUGUGUAUUUGUUGUAAGUGCUUAUUUUUCCUACAUCUAAUUUUCAUAUGUGGGCUGCUGCUAUUGUAUAUCGAUAAGACUGACACCAAUACUAGAAAUUGUUUAUGAUCAAUGAAGUAAAAAAGUGGUGCUUUGGUAAUAUUGGGGAUUGCGGGCGUUCCAUUCAAAUAAUCUUGUAAAUUUAAAGUGUUGUUUGAUGAUCCAUAUCUAUGUCACAUAGAUUUGGUCAUUUAUAAUAUUUUAUAUAAUACACAGUACAUGGAACUAGAAUGUGUGGAUAAUCUAUCUCGAACGAUCUAUCCCUAUGUCUCAAAUUAAUCUUCAAUCUGCAAAUGUACAUAUGCACGCUUAAGAUAUUAAAAAACGUUUCAACAUAUUUUCAUAUUUAUCUGAUCAUAUCAUUUUUUUUUUCGUUCCAAGUGGGAAAAUAUUUCAUGGUCUUGGAUAGACAUCCACACCUCUUUGUGGGUGUGCAUGAGUCUAUUAUUUUAGCAAACUAGGGAAGGAUGAUGGAUGAGGAGAAAAAGAUUAUUUAUGAAUUGACUGCUGUAAUAUUGAUAUGGUCACAAAUUUAAAGGAGUAACGUUACCCAAACAAAGUCUGCACCUCAACAAACAUGAGACCAUUUAACUCAAAUCUACCAGAUGAUUAUGUGAAAUGAUAGUUAAUAAAUCAAGGAAAAUGAUAGUUUCCCCGAGUCAAACCCCGGGUCAAACCCUGAAAACUCAAAACCUGCCGUUUCACAACUAAAGCCAAAAACGACGCAUUUUGCUUGCCAAAUAUUUCCCCUUUCCUCCAUUGUUUCCCCUUUCCUGUCUCUUUUUCUUUAGCUGCUUAAGAAGAAACAACGAAUUUGCUCACAUCAAGCUCAAAUCAUCAUCUUCUUCAAAGAUGCCAAGAUCCUUGGCUUCUCUUUUCUCCCGCAAGAAAUCGCAAACACUUGCCUUCAAAGAUAACUACACAAACUAGUUCAACACUUCGUAAAAAACCCUCCUCCCUCUCAUUCACAAAUCUCUUUCUUCAUCUUCUUCGUAAACCCUCCUCUACUCUCACGUCAACCUCCUCCUCAGCCAUUUUCUUUUCUAUUACGACGCAUUAGACAUCGCGACCACCCAAGAAAACCCACCCAAGCUUCUCUUCCCAUCUUGGUGCAACAGUCUUGAAAUCCCAUUCCUCUUUCUUCGCGAUCUCCACCCUUGUGUCUUCACCAACCUCGUUAGAUCACUUCUUGAUGAAGAAAGUGAAGAAGAAAAAGAAGACGAUGAUGAUGAAUUUUUUGAUAAUAGGCUGUGGCAUGUGUUCAUGGCGUGGAGGAAUAUGUCCAAGAAUUUGAUGUCACAGAUUGAGCAAAUUGAAUGUGGGUUGAGGCUGAUGGUGCUGGCGUUGAUUGGUAGAAUCAAGAAGGUGCAAAGUCGUUUUGUGGGGAGGAUCGCUGAUACAAUGGUUUUGUGGCAUUGAUUGGUAAAUCCUUUUGGUUAUCCAGUGCCGAUACAGAGAUGAGAAGCAUAGCAAACGGUGCCAUUUUGAUGCCGAUAAAAAAAAAAAAAAACACGAAACGGCGUCGUUUGCAUUAGUUUCGGGGUUUGACCCGGGACAAACAUCAGCGCUGAUCAAUCAAAUAUUAUGAAUAGACUAGAUGAUUUUAAAUGUCAUGUCAAUUUAUCUCUAACUGCAUAAGUAAAAUAUUAUUGUAUGAUGAGAUAUGUUUGUUGCCGAAAAAAAAAAAAAAAAACACGAAACGGCGUCGUUUGCAUUAGUUUCGGGGUUUGACCCGGGACAAACAUCAGCGCUGAUCAAUCAAAUAUUAUGAAUAGACUAGAUGAUUUUAAAUGUCAUGUCAAUUUAUCUCUAACUGCAUAAGUAAAAUAUUAUUGUAUGAUGAGAUAUGUUUAUAUAGAUAUAAGAUUUUCUACCUACUCAUAGUUUAUGUUCCUCGACAAAGUGUUCAGAUCUUUCUUUUUUUUUUAAUUAUCAUUAUUAUUAUUUUUUUGGUGGUAAAUUUGUAAAAAUAAAAUUAAAAGACUUGUUCAUGCUAAAAAAUUCUUUCAACAAGGAUAAGCUGGUCAUUAGCUUCAACUGUUUUAUAGAGAAGGUUAGAAAAAAACAAAAGUAGAGUUAUUGAAAAUUAGAUAGGUCAUAUAGGGAUAUUGACAUGGCUUGAAAGUAAGUUAAUGCUUCUUUUUCUUCUCUUCUUGUUACGUGCACAUAAUGACAUAAUUAAUUGACUGAUUGCAUGUUUAAACAAGUCAGUACAUUAAAAUUUCAUUGAUUGCAUGUGUUUUUGACCAAAAUAACUCCAACAAGUAAGAACCCUCUCACUGAAAAUUGUAAAUCAUUGUAAUUAAAACUUUUUAAGUCCUAUGUUAUAUUCUUCUUACAAGAAAUUUUAUAAUGCAUUAAAGGAAAUUCAACUGAAUAAUACAUGUAUAAUAUGUAUAGUUAAAUUUUAUAUAAUUACAUUUGCAUAGUAAUUUUUCAAAAUAAAUUUACAAACGUUAUAAUUUCAUUUAUUUGUUGUAUGAUUGCCAUGAUAUUUUAAAGUUACUUCAAAUUUUCUCUCUCUUUAGGGUUUUGUCCAGUAAUUUUUUAGUAGCUUUAUUAUUUGACAAGCCAUCCAAAGCGGCUUUUUUUCUCGUAUUACAUGUUUCUUUAAGAAAAAUCUAAUUUUUUUUUGCUCUUUUUUAACAGUUUUAGUUUAAAUAAAAAUGUUGGAUUUUUAAUUCGAAUUCAUGAUCCAGUUUGAUUGCUUUUGGCGGGAAAGGUUGUUAUGCAUCAAGCACACUAACAGAAGUUAGUUAUGGGACUGCUACUUUGACUUUUGGUUGACCUGAGCUGUUAUAUAGGCUGAUAAGGAGAGUAGGUUUAGGAGCUUGUAGUUAAUUCAUUUCACUGAGUUAGAAAACACUUGAUGACUCAUUAGAAAUCUGGUUGUAAUCUCUUUAAAUAUGGGCCCUUUACUCUUAAUGAAAAAGAGCUUGAAGAUGGCUUGUUGUGCAUAAUCAUUGGUGGUUAGUUUUGAUCAUCUCUUGCCUAUGUGCUAUGCAUUCUACUUACUAGCUGUGUUUGUAUCAAUUAUUGGGGCAAAUUUUGGUUAUACGUUAGGAAAUUGAUGGGUGAAACAGACAUAUAAUUAAAAUGAAAUUGAGAAAUAAUGAUCACACAAGGACACCAGGAUUUACAUGGUUCGACUUUUAGCCUACGUUCAUAGUGUUGUAUAAAUUUUAUUGUACUCGCAACUACAAAAAUCUAUUAUAGUAUAGAUUUAUAGUGACGAGUGUCGAUCCCACGAGAAGGUAGAUUUAAUCACAUGUAGGCUUAAUUAAUCCAAGUUCAUAUGUGUAUUGGUUGGAAAUGAUUUCUUUAUCUUAAUAUUUAAAAUAAAAUGGCAAGAAUGAAUUAAAGAUAAAACUAUGCAAAUGAGGUUCUUGAGUCUUUAAAUUCACACUCAACACUUCACCAUGGGCUUACUAUUCCUUUUUUAGUUCCAAUUAAUAUAUGAGGGAGUAUUUCCACUCCUUAUAAGCCUCAUUCUAAUAAAUACGGUAUCAAGCACUCAUUGUGCGAGAGAAUAAUGAUCUUCCACUAAUGUGUUAUUAAGCACACGUUGUGCCAGACGAUAAAAAUCCUUUUGUCGACAAUAUGGCAAGAUCGUCUACUAAAAAGUUUAGAUGCGCUCUCUGUCGACAAUAAGUCAAGACGACCAACGAAAUACUAAAGGGGAGUUUUCUCUUUAAUAUAUGGUGCUAAGUACUCAUCGUGCUAAACAGUAACUAUCUUUUACUAGAGAGCUGGUAUGUCAUACAAAAUCUAGUUAAGAUACACCGUUUGUCGAUGACGAGUCAAAACAACUACUUAAAUAAGAAAGAUAGAGCAAAUAAACUUACCAAAUUAGGCCUAUAGAUCAUAUUGAGGCUUCACUUUCAAUCCAAUCUUAAAACUAAAUUAGCUAUUUCUUUUUUAACUAGGGGUAAAAUGAAAAUUCUAUUAAAAUAUGUAGAAAAUAUAAGAUGGGGAGAGAGUUAGGAGUGGGGAGCCCCCUACUUAUAGGUACGAUGAGUAAAUUAUAGCUAUCGGAUAAAAACAAUUCAGAUGCUCAGGAUUGCGUCACGUGGCAAGCUUUGAUUAGUUGGAAUACAUCAUCAGUCAACACCACAUUAGCAUUUCGAUCUAAUAAUAUGCUGCCACGUCAUUGGUCUACGCUACAUCAUCAGUCAACGUCACAUAAUCAAUAAAUGCCACAUCAUUGGCCUAAUAGGAUGCUGCCACAUCAUCGGUCAAUGCCACAUCAUCACAUCGCACACGUGAACAGUUCCAUACAUGUGAAUAGUAAUGUAUACGUGAACAAUACUGUAUAUGUCAGUAGUAUCAUAAAUGUAAAUGGUGCCAUAUACCCCUUUAUGCUCCUCUUAAGGAUUUCAAUUGUUCCGAGCUAAAAAAUGCCAUCCGUUUUUUUGUCCAACUUCUCUUUAAUUAUGAAAUAAUCAAAAUACUAUUCAAAUACAUAAAAUACUCAAAUUAUAACAAAACACACACAAUCAAAUUUUAAAGGACUUAAACAUAUAAAAGUAGAAAUGUUAGUGAGACUUGGAGUACAAAAUGAUAAUUGUAUCCUUUAUAAAUACGCAUUCUCCAGUACUUAACACAUGUGCGAAGACAUAAGGAAAUAUUUUACUAGUAAGAAGGAGUUACAAGUAUUGUAAUAUUUUUGUCUUACAACCCAAAAAACCCAAUACACCUAAACUCUUAAAACACUAGAACAAAUGCUUAAAGCUCUCAGGGCACUCUCUUCUAACUCUUGACUUCUCUCAACUGAAUUGAAAAAUGGGAUGAUUGAAGAUGGUAAAUGAAGCCUCUAUUUUAUGGGCUUCAUGUUCCCUCUUUCUUUAAUUUUUAUUAUUAUACAAAACUUAGUGGAUAUCGAAAGUUACACUAAUAAUGUGUUACUUACUCAUGUCUCCUACUUAUCUCAACAAAUUAUGCCAAAAGUCAAAAUGUUGCAUGAUAACCACAUGCAAUUACUUGCUACAUGCAUGCAUAUGUUCAACAUUAUGUGUGUUUGCUCUUAUUAAACGACAUCAACUAGUCAUCUACCUAUUGAUCUUGGGGCUUAAUAUUAUAUGUUUCAUACCAGAAUUUGCAUAACAAAAAGUAAUGAAGAGAUUAAUUAAUAUGUAUGUGUCUCAGUGUGUGUACGGACAAAAUAUAUGCAUAAAGAGAGGCAUGGAAAAGGCUUAGCUGCUAAAUAAAAACAAUAACAAUUAUGUUUAUUACAUGGCCACAGUCAGCCUGGAGAGAGGUUCAUGAGAGACCUCUUUUAUUACAUUAAUUAAGAUAUGAUAAUCUGGAGAUAAAGUAAUACAGCCACUAGUGAAGAGGCCAUUUAUAUUAAAGCUCAUUAAUUCCUUCUCCUAAUUGCCAUUAAUGAACUUAUUUUGAAGAUCUUUCACUAUCUUUGGGUCCAACUGGAAUGCCUUGCCAAGAAAAUCGGGAUUGAUUGAAGGAUUGGCUCCAAAGACUGUGUCGGCUAUGGUAACUUCACCCGGGAAUUGGCUGUUUAGAGCAGAAUAGGCAGCUGCAUUUGUUUUUCCAAUGUUGAAUUGGAAGUGAAUCAAACCUUGUGGAAACACAAAAACAUCUCCCUUAUUUAGAACUUUUGCGAUGAGUGUGUUAUUCAGUUGGUCUGAUGUCACAAAACCGACAUAAAGAGUUCCUUCCAGGACUAAGAAGAUUUCGCUGGCACGGGGGUGAAUGUGAGGUGGCCUUUGGCCAUAUGGUGCAUAGUCAAUACGGAAUGCUGAUAUGCCAAGGGUGUUGAGUCCUGGAAUUUGCUCAACAUUUGCAUCUGUUUCAUCAACACCAAGUCGAUUUGCUGUGUUUCCAGGCUUGCCUAGCCCUGAGAAGAAGAAAUCUUCUGCUCUCGCAAGCUUGGGGUCCUUGCAGAACUUCCCAUUCACAAACACUACAAGAACACACACACAUACACACACAAAGGGGGAAAAAAAGAAUAAUUAAGUAGCAGCACAAAUUUUAUUGAAAUUUAUAUGUUUCGUUAGUUCAGCUUACGUACCACCAUCCUUCGGGUCCUCGAUGGCUACACAGAUAUCUUGAAGAGGGCUAGGGUCAGAGGCAGAGGCCAAAGAAGAAGCCAAAGCCAAGAGAGCAAAACCUAUAAGAAAUUGAAUUGCCUUCAUGGUGAUUAAUUAACAGGAACCAGCUUAAAGAAAUGGAGUCCAGCAUCCAAGAUCUUGAAGAAGGCCUUGAGUCCUUGUCUAGGCGUUUGAUCAAGGCUAGAGUCCCCCUUCUCAACAUCCUCACCAAUUAGAUUACAAGAUUGUGGUGAUGUCAUACUUGUAAAUGAAUGAAAUAUACUUGUAUCAUUCUAUAGAAAGAAAAUUAUAUAUACACAAAUAGGUUUUUUCUAUGACAUAUUUAGCCUUUCUUGUAUUUCAUAGUCUUUGCUUUUAUUGCAUAAAUGUUGCUAAUUAUAUGAUAUAUUAUACAGUAAUCUAUCACGAGACAGUAAGAAUCUCCACGACUAUCAUUUCUAUUUUAAAUUGCAUGUAAUUAAUUUGCCUUGAAUAAAUUAUGGAUUCUCUUAGAUGCAUCUGUUUAAUUUUGAACCAAUAAUACUUUAAUGGCAAAUUUCUUCCUGAAGCAUUAAUUUAAAGCUUAGUUUAGCUUGUUCAUCCAAUCUAUUUGUUUGAUUAUUUUUACUCCAUACAAGGAGAAUUGAAAAUCUAGUACCAUCUACCAGCAUUUAAGCUGUAAAAUCAAUUGAUAUUUGAUAUUGAUGAAAUGUUCUUAUCAUAGAAAUAUUCUAUUUGUGUAUUUAAUUUUCUUUAUAUAGAUUGAUACAAUAGGAUUUCGCAUGCAUCAUUUCUGCUGUACGGCCAAGGCGGAUGUUAAAAUUUUGUAAAAUCUAAAUUUAGUAAAAAUCAGUUGACCACCUCUAUUUGAGAUUUAUGUUUUUUAUUAAAUUUAGGGAUAUUUUUAUGAUUAUAAUUUUUAAUUUUAAAAAUUUUUAUAAGAUAAAAUAAUCUUUUAAUUUAUUUGGGGGUAAAAUUAUCAUUUUAUUAAAAUUAUUUAAUAGUGUUAAUGCAAAAGUGACUAAUUGAUACAAAUGUAAAAAAAAAAAUGGUGCAAAAUACAUGUUAAAAUUUUGUGGUGGCUGAAUGAACAUAAGGCAAAAUAAAGGUGGUGCAAUGAUAAUUUCCCUAUAACUAAUAUUAACAUAUUUGUUUAUUCUUAAUCCCAAAAGAAUAAUAUAACAAAAUUAUACAAUCCCAAAAGGGUGAGAUGAUCCGGAUGUCCUAACAAAAAAAUCAUCUAUAUCUUCUAAUAUCAUCACGUGGCCAAAACUCAAAAUAUAUUUACAGCCGCUGGGUCGGUUUGGUGUACCUGCAACCUCCUGUUGGGGGGAGGAAAAUAUAAUAAAAACCGAAUGAGUAUAAAACUCAGUGAGCUUAGUGAGUAUAUAGUAAUUUUUGAAAACAAAUUUUUACUUUAAAAGAAAUAAUCAUAUCAUUUCCAAACACAAUUUCAUCAAACCAUAUGCGAGAAACCAGUAAUAAAUCAUUUAACAUUUAAAUCAGAUUACCAACCUUGAAAAGCAUAUAUAAUAUCGUAGCUAAUAACCAUGGAAAUCAUAUCACAAUAUCAUAUAGAAUACACAAAUAUGAAAAUCAUCACUAAACAAGUACCAAGAGGAAUAAUCUCAUCGUAUCCGGACCUCAACGGAUGGACAAUGACGUACUAUUUAGAUAUUGUCACACCCCGGAACUACACGGAUAGACAAGAAAAUAUCAUCUCAUAUCUCAUGAUAUAUGUGCAUGUAUAAUCUAGUCCCCAAAGGACAAAAGCGCCCAAGCACAUGGCCCAAAGCCUCUAUGUGUACUCAGACGAGCCCUCAAUGCAUGUAUCUCAUAUGUAUCAUCUGUAUAUGUAUCACUGUUAUCAUCAUAUCACAUGCAUAUGCCCCCAAAAGGCAGAAGUGCCUAAACACACGGCCCAAAGCCUCUAUGUGUGUUCAGACGGGCCCCAAAGACCUCUCAUCUCUAUACUUAUAAAAGAGAAGGGUAUUGUCGAAUGAUUUUAAAAACAAUCUCUAUACUCAUAUUCAUAUAAAUUAUAAUCAUACUUUAAAUCAUACAUUUCUUUUUAUUAUCACAUCUAAAUCCACUUUUCUCAUCUUUAAAAUACCAUAAUAUUUUAUUCAAAGUCGAUACGAAAAACUAUUAACGAAACAUUUUAAUAUAAUAUCAAUGCGUGAAUAAAAUCCAUUUCAAGAAAAUCAUUAAAUCAGAACAUUUAAAAUACUUAUUUCGCAAACAUACUUUACUAUCAUAAUUAAUUAUGAAAAUAAAUUUUGUAUAUUCCACUCACAGUGACGAUGUUUACGCUCGGUUAUCGUCCACGUCCGCGGACUGACUCUCACUUGCGGAUCCUCCUAAAUCAAGAAAACGACAUAAUUAUUUUCUAUAAAUCAGAAUUAGGACUAAAUUUAUGCAACAAACUCGAAACAAACAUCUAUCCAUAAUUUACAACUCCCGUAUCGAUAAAAUUACUAAAAUACCCUUAAAUAUGUAAAUCAUUAAGAUACUUCGAAAUUAUAAAUCACCGAAUUACCCUCGGAAUCAUAAUUACACCCAAUCUUCAAUUUCAGGAAUUACUAAAAUAUCCACAGGCUCAUAAAUUACAAAACCGCUAUCAAAAUGUGAAAUUACCGAAUUGCCCUUACCGGUCAACGGUGGCCGGAAUUCAAGCAACGGUGACCGGGAAGCUCAGGUCAGACGCUUCUCGCUGAGCUGAGUUCAAUGAUACCGGCAGUGUGCUCCCACGCGUGGCGACGGCACCAGAAUCUAGCUCGACAGUCGUGUUACUACAACGGCUGAACCACGACAAAUCGACGGCUCUUGGUGGGUGUGGAUGGUCAGAAAAUUAAAGGGGAGUCGUGGGGAACAAAAUCCAGCCGGUGCUGUCACCCAAAACCGGUGAAAAUCUCAACAGAGCAAGGUGGAAAAGUAGCGGGUUUUUCAAGCUUUGGUCACCGACGUUCUAGCUGUUUUCCGGCGACGUGGACGAUUGGGGCAUGAUGGCCGGUUUGCAAGCUUCAGAUUGGUACCAAACUUGACCGGUUGGGUGGCCGGAAUCACAAGAUAUCGCCGGGUCGAAUUUCAGGUCAAACGGGUCGGGUUUCGGGUCGGUUUACAGCUUCUCUCACUCUCUCGUACGUGUGUAUCUGUUUCCCUGUGUCAAACUUCUUCUUUUACUUUUAUUUACUUUUUAACCGCCUCAUCUUUUUUUUUUUUUUUUUCCACGUGUGUUACAAUAAAACCCAAAACAGGUUAGACACGUUUCCACCAAUCUUCAAAACGAACAUAAAAUAUAAUAAGAAACAAUAUUUUAACGCGUUUCCAAAGCAUAAUUAAAAUAUAAUUUUUUCAUUGGAAAGAAACGAGUUGAAGAAUUUAUGAAAAUGGGUGAGAAACAAAUUCAAGUCUCUGGCCACAGGCUAACAGUUGAGAGUCAUGUUCUGUAAAUAUCGAUGUUACCGGACUUGAUUGGUUUGUUGUUGGACUUAAUGAAGAUGCAUUAUUAGCCAUUUUUUCUUUUUCAUAUCAAUUUUCAUAGCUGCUUUAAUCAUUUUUAGUUAUGAAUGCAUUACCAAUGAUGCACUUGUUUUUUUCAUUACGUGUUAAAAUAUUGUUUUCUGUAAAUAUCGAUGUUACCGGACUUGAUUGGUUUGUUGUUGGACUUAAUGAAGAUGCAUUAUUAGCCAUUUUUUCUUUUUCAUAUCAAUUUUCAUAGCUGCUUUAAUCAUUUUUAGUUAUGAAUGCAUUACCAAUGAUGCACUUGUUUUUUUCAUUACGUGUUAAAAUAUUGUUUUCUGUAAAUAUCGAUGUUACCGGACUUGAUUGGUUUGUUGUUGGACUUAAUGAAGAUGCAUUAUUAGCCAUUUUUUCUUUUUCAUAUCAAUUUUCAUAGCUGCUUUAAUCAUUUUUAGUUAUGAAUGCAUUACCAAUGAUGCACUUGUUUUUUUCAUUACGUGUUAAAAUAUUGUUUUCUGUAAAUAUCGAUGUUACCGGACUUGAUUGGUUUGUUGUUGGACUUAAUGAAGAUGCAUUAUUAGCCAUUUUUUCUUUUUCAUAUCAAUUUUCAUAGCUGCUUUAAUCAUUUUUAGUUAUGAAUGCAUUACCAAUGAUGCACUUGUUUUUUUCAUUACGUGUUAAAAUAUUGUUUUCUGUAAAUAUCGAUGUUACCGGACUUGAUUGGUUUGUUGUUGGACUUAAUGAAGAUGCAUUAUUAGCCAUUUUUUCUUUUUCAUAUCAAUUUUCAUAGCUGCUUUAAUCAUUUUUAGUUAUGAAUGCAUUACCAAUGAUGCACUUGUUUUUUUCAUUACGUGUUAAAAUAUUGUUUUCUGUAAAUAUCGAUGUUACCGGACUUGAUUGGUUUGUUGUUGGACUUAAUGAAGAUGCAUUAUUAGCCAUUUUUUCUUUUUCAUAUCAAUUUUCAUAGCUGCUUUAAUCAUUUUUAGUUAUGAAUGCAUUACCAAUGAUGCACUUGUUUUUUUCAUUACGUGUUAAAAUAUUGUUUUCUGUAAAUAUCGAUGUUACCGGACUUGAUUGGUUUGUUGUUGGACUUAAUGAAGAUGCAUUAUUAGCCAUUUUUUCUUUUUCAUAUCAAUUUUCAUAGCUGCUUUAAUCAUUUUUAGUUAUGAAUGCAUUACCAAUGAUGCACUUGUUUUUUUCAUUACGUGUUAAAAUAUUGUUUUCUGUAAAUAUCGAUGUUACCGGACUUGAUUGGUUUGUUGUUGGACUUAAUGAAGAUGCAUUAUUAGCCAUUUUUUCUUUUUCAUAUCAAUUUUCAUAGCUGCUUUAAUCAUUUUUAGUUAUGAAUGCAUUACCAAUGAUGCACUUGUUUUUUUCAUUACGUGUUAAAAUAUUGUUUUCUGUAAAUAUCGAUGUUACCGGACUUGAUUGGUUUGUUGUUGGACUUAAUGAAGAUGCAUUAUUAGCCAUUUUUUCUUUUUCAUAUCAAUUUUCAUAGCUGCUUUAAUCAUUUUUAGUUAUGAAUGCAUUACCAAUGAUGCACUUGUUUUUUUCAUUACGUGUUAAAAUAUUGUUUUCUGUAAAUAUCGAUGUUACCGGACUUGAUUGGUUUGUUGUUGGACUUAAUGAAGAUGCAUUAUUAGCCAUUUUUUCUUUUUCAUAUCAAUUUUCAUAGCUGCUUUAAUCAUUUUUAGUUAUGAAUGCAUUACCAAUGAUGCACUUGUUUUUUUCAUUACGUGUUAAAAUAUUGUUUUCUGUAAAUAUCGAUGUUACCGGACUUGAUUGGUUUGUUGUUGGACUUAAUGAAGAUGCAUUAUUAGCCAUUUUUUCUUUUUCAUAUCAAUUUUCAUAGCUGCUUUAAUCAUUUUUAGUUAUGAAUGCAUUACCAAUGAUGCACUUGUUUUUUUCAUUACGUGUUAAAAUAUUGUUUUCUGUAAAUAUCGAUGUUACCGGACUUGAUUGGUUUGUUGUUGGACUUAAUGAAGAUGCAUUAUUAGCCAUUUUUUCUUUUUCAUAUCAAUUUUCAUAGCUGCUUUAAUCAUUUUUAGUUAUGAAUGCAUUACCAAUGAUGCACUUGUUUUUUUCAUUACGUGUUAAAAUAUUGUUUUCUGUAAAUAUCGAUGUUACCGGACUUGAUUGGUUUGUUGUUGGACUUAAUGAAGAUGCAUUAUUAGCCAUUUUUUCUUUUUCAUAUCAAUUUUCAUAGCUGCUUUAAUCAUUUUUAGUUAUGAAUGCAUUACCAAUGAUGCACUUGUUUUUUUCAUUACGUGUUAAAAUAUUGUUUUCUGUAAAUAUCGAUGUUACCGGACUUGAUUGGUUUGUUGUUGGACUUAAUGAAGAUGCAUUAUUAGCCAUUUUUUCUUUUUCAUAUCAAUUUUCAUAGCUGCUUUAAUCAUUUUUAGUUAUGAAUGCAUUACCAAUGAUGCACUUGUUUUUUUCAUUACGUGUUAAAAUAUUGUUUUCUGUAAAUAUCGAUGUUACCGGACUUGAUUGGUUUGUUGUUGGACUUAAUGAAGAUGCAUUAUUAGCCAUUUUUUCUUUUUCAUAUCAAUUUUCAUAGCUGCUUUAAUCAUUUUUAGUUAUGAAUGCAUUACCAAUGAUGCACUUGUUUUUUUCAUUACGUGUUAAAAUAUUGUUUUCUGUAAAUAUCGAUGUUACCGGACUUGAUUGGUUUGUUGUUGGACUUAAUGAAGAUGCAUUAUUAGCCAUUUUUUCUUUUUCAUAUCAAUUUUCAUAGCUGCUUUAAUCAUUUUUAGUUAUGAAUGCAUUACCAAUGAUGCACUUGUUUUUUUCAUUACGUGUUAAAAUAUUGUUUUCUGUAAAUAUCGAUGUUACCGGACUUGAUUGGUUUGUUGUUGGACUUAAUGAAGAUGCAUUAUUAGCCAUUUUUUCUUUUUCAUAUCAAUUUUCAUAGCUGCUUUAAUCAUUUUUAGUUAUGAAUGCAUUACCAAUGAUGCACUUGUUUUUUUCAUUACGUGUUAAAAUAUUGUUUUCUGUAAAUAUCGAUGUUACCGGACUUGAUUGGUUUGUUGUUGGACUUAAUGAAGAUGCAUUAUUAGCCAUUUUUUCUUUUUCAUAUCAAUUUUCAUAGCUGCUUUAAUCAUUUUUAGUUAUGAAUGCAUUACCAAUGAUGCACUUGUUUUUUUCAUUACGUGUUAAAAUAUUGUUUUCUGUAAAUAUCGAUGUUACCGGACUUGAUUGGUUUGUUGUUGGACUUAAUGAAGAUGCAUUAUUAGCCAUUUUUUCUUUUUCAUAUCAAUUUUCAUAGCUGCUUUAAUCAUUUUUAGUUAUGAAUGCAUUACCAAUGAUGCACUUGUUUUUUUCAUUACGUGUUAAAAUAUUGUUUUCUGUAAAUAUCGAUGUUACCGGACUUGAUUGGUUUGUUGUUGGACUUAAUGAAGAUGCAUUAUUAGCCAUUUUUUCUUUUUCAUAUCAAUUUUCAUAGCUGCUUUAAUCAUUUUUAGUUAUGAAUGCAUUACCAAUGAUGCACUUGUUUUUUUCAUUACGUGUUAAAAUAUUGUUUUCUGUAAAUAUCGAUGUUACCGGACUUGAUUGGUUUGUUGUUGGACUUAAUGAAGAUGCAUUAUUAGCCAUUUUUUCUUUUUCAUAUCAAUUUUCAUAGCUGCUUUAAUCAUUUUUAGUUAUGAAUGCAUUACCAAUGAUGCACUUGUUUUUUUCAUUACGUGUUAAAAUAUUGUUUUCUGUAAAUAUCGAUGUUACCGGACUUGAUUGGUUUGUUGUUGGACUUAAUGAAGAUGCAUUAUUAGCCAUUUUUUCUUUUUCAUAUCAAUUUUCAUAGCUGCUUUAAUCAUUUUUAGUUAUGAAUGCAUUACCAAUGAUGCACUUGUUUUUUUCAUUACGUGUUAAAAUAUUGUUUUCUGUAAAUAUCGAUGUUACCGGACUUGAUUGGUUUGUUGUUGGACUUAAUGAAGAUGCAUUAUUAGCCAUUUUUUCUUUUUCAUAUCAAUUUUCAUAGCUGCUUUAAUCAUUUUUAGUUAUGAAUGCAUUACCAAUGAUGCACUUGUUUUUUUCAUUACGUGUUAAAAUAUUGUUUUCUGUAAAUAUCGAUGUUACCGGACUUGAUUGGUUUGUUGUUGGACUUAAUGAAGAUGCAUUAUUAGCCAUUUUUUCUUUUUCAUAUCAAUUUUCAUAGCUGCUUUAAUCAUUUUUAGUUAUGAAUGCAUUACCAAUGAUGCACUUGUUUUUUUCAUUACGUGUUAAAAUAUUGUUUUCUGUAAAUAUCGAUGUUACCGGACUUGAUUGGUUUGUUGUUGGACUUAAUGAAGAUGCAUUAUUAGCCAUUUUUUCUUUUUCAUAUCAAUUUUCAUAGCUGCUUUAAUCAUUUUUAGUUAUGAAUGCAUUACCAAUGAUGCACUUGUUUUUUUCAUUACGUGUUAAAAUAUUGUUUUCUGUAAAUAUCGAUGUUACCGGACUUGAUUGGUUUGUUGUUGGACUUAAUGAAGAUGCAUUAUUAGCCAUUUUUUCUUUUUCAUAUCAAUUUUCAUAGCUGCUUUAAUCAUUUUUAGUUAUGAAUGCAUUACCAAUGAUGCACUUGUUUUUUUCAUUACGUGUUAAAAUAUUGUUUUCUGUAAAUAUCGAUGUUACCGGACUUGAUUGGUUUGUUGUUGGACUUAAUGAAGAUGCAUUAUUAGCCAUUUUUUCUUUUUCAUAUCAAUUUUCAUAGCUGCUUUAAUCAUUUUUAGUUAUGAAUGCAUUACCAAUGAUGCACUUGUUUUUUUCAUUACGUGUUAAAAUAUUGUUUUCUGUAAAUAUCGAUGUUACCGGACUUGAUUGGUUUGUUGUUGGACUUAAUGAAGAUGCAUUAUUAGCCAUUUUUUCUUUUUCAUAUCAAUUUUCAUAGCUGCUUUAAUCAUUUUUAGUUAUGAAUGCAUUACCAAUGAUGCACUUGUUUUUUUCAUUACGUGUUAAAAUAUUGUUUUCUGUAAAUAUCGAUGUUACCGGACUUGAUUGGUUUGUUGUUGGACUUAAUGAAGAUGCAUUAUUAGCCAUUUUUUCUUUUUCAUAUCAAUUUUCAUAGCUGCUUUAAUCAUUUUUAGUUAUGAAUGCAUUACCAAUGAUGCACUUGUUUUUUUCAUUACGUGUUAAAAUAUUGUUUUCUGUAAAUAUCGAUGUUACCGGACUUGAUUGGUUUGUUGUUGGACUUAAUGAAGAUGCAUUAUUAGCCAUUUUUUCUUUUUCAUAUCAAUUUUCAUAGCUGCUUUAAUCAUUUUUAGUUAUGAAUGCAUUACCAAUGAUGCACUUGUUUUUUUCAUUACGUGUUAAAAUAUUGUUUUCUGUAAAUAUCGAUGUUACCGGACUUGAUUGGUUUGUUGUUGGACUUAAUGAAGAUGCAUUAUUAGCCAUUUUUUCUUUUUCAUAUCAAUUUUCAUAGCUGCUUUAAUCAUUUUUAGUUAUGAAUGCAUUACCAAUGAUGCACUUGUUUUUUUCAUUACGUGUUAAAAUAUUGUUUUCUGUAAAUAUCGAUGUUACCGGACUUGAUUGGUUUGUUGUUGGACUUAAUGAAGAUGCAUUAUUAGCCAUUUUUUCUUUUUCAUAUCAAUUUUCAUAGCUGCUUUAAUCAUUUUUAGUUAUGAAUGCAUUACCAAUGAUGCACUUGUUUUUUUCAUUACGUGUUAAAAUAUUGUUUUCUGUAAAUAUCGAUGUUACCGGACUUGAUUGGUUUGUUGUUGGACUUAAUGAAGAUGCAUUAUUAGCCAUUUUUUCUUUUUCAUAUCAAUUUUCAUAGCUGCUUUAAUCAUUUUUAGUUAUGAAUGCAUUACCAAUGAUGCACUUGUUUUUUUCAUUACGUGUUAAAAUAUUGUUUUCUGUAAAUAUCGAUGUUACCGGACUUGAUUGGUUUGUUGUUGGACUUAAUGAAGAUGCAUUAUUAGCCAUUUUUUCUUUUUCAUAUCAAUUUUCAUAGCUGCUUUAAUCAUUUUUAGUUAUGAAUGCAUUACCAAUGAUGCACUUGUUUUUUUCAUUACGUGUUAAAAUAUUGUUUUCUGUAAAUAUCGAUGUUACCGGACUUGAUUGGUUUGUUGUUGGACUUAAUGAAGAUGCAUUAUUAGCCAUUUUUUCUUUUUCAUAUCAAUUUUCAUAGCUGCUUUAAUCAUUUUUAGUUAUGAAUGCAUUACCAAUGAUGCACUUGUUUUUUUCAUUACGUGUUAAAAUAUUGUUUUCUGUAAAUAUCGAUGUUACCGGACUUGAUUGGUUUGUUGUUGGACUUAAUGAAGAUGCAUUAUUAGCCAUUUUUUCUUUUUCAUAUCAAUUUUCAUAGCUGCUUUAAUCAUUUUUAGUUAUGAAUGCAUUACCAAUGAUGCACUUGUUUUUUUCAUUACGUGUUAAAAUAUUGUUUUCUGUAAAUAUCGAUGUUACCGGACUUGAUUGGUUUGUUGUUGGACUUAAUGAAGAUGCAUUAUUAGCCAUUUUUUCUUUUUCAUAUCAAUUUUCAUAGCUGCUUUAAUCAUUUUUAGUUAUGAAUGCAUUACCAAUGAUGCACUUGUUUUUUUCAUUACGUGUUAAAAUAUUGUUUUCUGUAAAUAUCGAUGUUACCGGACUUGAUUGGUUUGUUGUUGGACUUAAUGAAGAUGCAUUAUUAGCCAUUUUUUCUUUUUCAUAUCAAUUUUCAUAGCUGCUUUAAUCAUUUUUAGUUAUGAAUGCAUUACCAAUGAUGCACUUGUUUUUUUCAUUACGUGUUAAAAUAUUGUUUUCUGUAAAUAUCGAUGUUACCGGACUUGAUUGGUUUGUUGUUGGACUUAAUGAAGAUGCAUUAUUAGCCAUUUUUUCUUUUUCAUAUCAAUUUUCAUAGCUGCUUUAAUCAUUUUUAGUUAUGAAUGCAUUACCAAUGAUGCACUUGUUUUUUUCAUUACGUGUUAAAAUAUUGUUUUCUGUAAAUAUCGAUGUUACCGGACUUGAUUGGUUUGUUGUUGGACUUAAUGAAGAUGCAUUAUUAGCCAUUUUUUCUUUUUCAUAUCAAUUUUCAUAGCUGCUUUAAUCAUUUUUAGUUAUGAAUGCAUUACCAAUGAUGCACUUGUUUUUUUCAUUACGUGUUAAAAUAUUGUUUUCUGUAAAUAUCGAUGUUACCGGACUUGAUUGGUUUGUUGUUGGACUUAAUGAAGAUGCAUUAUUAGCCAUUUUUUCUUUUUCAUAUCAAUUUUCAUAGCUGCUUUAAUCAUUUUUAGUUAUGAAUGCAUUACCAAUGAUGCACUUGUUUUUUUCAUUACGUGUUAAAAUAUUGUUUUCUGUAAAUAUCGAUGUUACCGGACUUGAUUGGUUUGUUGUUGGACUUAAUGAAGAUGCAUUAUUAGCCAUUUUUUCUUUUUCAUAUCAAUUUUCAUAGCUGCUUUAAUCAUUUUUAGUUAUGAAUGCAUUACCAAUGAUGCACUUGUUUUUUUCAUUACGUGUUAAAAUAUUGUUUUCUGUAAAUAUCGAUGUUACCGGACUUGAUUGGUUUGUUGUUGGACUUAAUGAAGAUGCAUUAUUAGCCAUUUUUUCUUUUUCAUAUCAAUUUUCAUAGCUGCUUUAAUCAUUUUUAGUUAUGAAUGCAUUACCAAUGAUGCACUUGUUUUUUUCAUUACGUGUUAAAAUAUUGUUUUCUGUAAAUAUCGAUGUUACCGGACUUGAUUGGUUUGUUGUUGGACUUAAUGAAGAUGCAUUAUUAGCCAUUUUUUCUUUUUCAUAUCAAUUUUCAUAGCUGCUUUAAUCAUUUUUAGUUAUGAAUGCAUUACCAAUGAUGCACUUGUUUUUUUCAUUACGUGUUAAAAUAUUGUUUUCUGUAAAUAUCGAUGUUACCGGACUUGAUUGGUUUGUUGUUGGACUUAAUGAAGAUGCAUUAUUAGCCAUUUUUUCUUUUUCAUAUCAAUUUUCAUAGCUGCUUUAAUCAUUUUUAGUUAUGAAUGCAUUACCAAUGAUGCACUUGUUUUUUUCAUUACGUGUUAAAAUAUUGUUUUCUGUAAAUAUCGAUGUUACCGGACUUGAUUGGUUUGUUGUUGGACUUAAUGAAGAUGCAUUAUUAGCCAUUUUUUCUUUUUCAUAUCAAUUUUCAUAGCUGCUUUAAUCAUUUUUAGUUAUGAAUGCAUUACCAAUGAUGCACUUGUUUUUUUCAUUACGUGUUAAAAUAUUGUUUUCUGUAAAUAUCGAUGUUACCGGACUUGAUUGGUUUGUUGUUGGACUUAAUGAAGAUGCAUUAUUAGCCAUUUUUUCUUUUUCAUAUCAAUUUUCAUAGCUGCUUUAAUCAUUUUUAGUUAUGAAUGCAUUACCAAUGAUGCACUUGUUUUUUUCAUUACGUGUUAAAAUAUUGUUUUCUGUAAAUAUCGAUGUUACCGGACUUGAUUGGUUUGUUGUUGGACUUAAUGAAGAUGCAUUAUUAGCCAUUUUUUCUUUUUCAUAUCAAUUUUCAUAGCUGCUUUAAUCAUUUUUAGUUAUGAAUGCAUUACCAAUGAUGCACUUGUUUUUUUCAUUACGUGUUAAAAUAUUGUUUUCUGUAAAUAUCGAUGUUACCGGACUUGAUUGGUUUGUUGUUGGACUUAAUGAAGAUGCAUUAUUAGCCAUUUUUUCUUUUUCAUAUCAAUUUUCAUAGCUGCUUUAAUCAUUUUUAGUUAUGAAUGCAUUACCAAUGAUGCACUUGUUUUUUUCAUUACGUGUUAAAAUAUUGUUUUCUGUAAAUAUCGAUGUUACCGGACUUGGGGGGGGGGAGUGGGGAGCCCCCUACUUAUAGGUACGAUGAGUAAAUUAUAGCUAUCGGAUAAAAACAAUUCAGAUGCUCAGGAUUGCGUCACGUGGCAAGCUUUGAUUAGUUGGAAUACAUCAUCAGUCAACACCACAUUAGCAUUUCGAUCUAAUAAUAUGCUGCCACGUCAUUGGUCUACGCUACAUCAUCAGUCAACGUCACAUAAUCAAUAAAUGCCACAUCAUUGGCCUAAUAGGAUGCUGCCACAUCAUCGGUCAAUGCCACAUCAUCACAUCGCACACGUGAACAGUUCCAUACAUGUGAAUAGUAAUGUAUACGUGAACAAUACUGUAUAUGUCAGUAGUAUCAUAAAUGUAAAUGGUGCCAUAUACCCCUUUAUGCUCCUCUUAAGGAUUUCAAUUGUUCCGAGCUAAAAAAUGCCAUCCGUUUUUUUGUCCAACUUCUCUUUAAUUAUGAAAUAAUCAAAAUACUAUUCAAAUACAUAAAAUACUCAAAUUAUAACAAAACACACACAAUCAAAUUUUAAAGGACUUAAACAUAUAAAAGUAGAAAUGUUAGUGAGACUUGGAGUACAAAAUGAUAAUUGUAUCCUUUAUAAAUACGCAUUCUCCAGUACUUAACACAUGUGCGAAGACAUAAGGAAAUAUUUUACUAGUAAGAAGGAGUUACAAGUAUUGUAAUAUUUUUGUCUUACAACCCAAAAAACCCAAUACACCUAAACUCUUAAAACACUAGAACAAAUGCUUAAAGCUCUCAGGGCACUCUCUUCUAACUCUUGACUUCUCUCAACUGAAUUGAAAAAUGGGAUGAUUGAAGAUGGUAAAUGAAGCCUCUAUUUUAUGGGCUUCAUGUUCCCUCUUUCUUUAAUUUUUAUUAUUAUACAAAACUUAGUGGAUAUCGAAAGUUACACUAAUAAUGUGUUACUUACUCAUGUCUCCUACUUAUCUCAACAAAUUAUGCCAAAAGUCAAAAUGUUGCAUGAUAACCACAUGCAAUUACUUGCUACAUGCAUGCAUAUGUUCAACAUUAUGUGUGUUUGCUCUUAUUAAACGACAUCAACUAGUCAUCUACCUAUUGAUCUUGGGGCUUAAUAUUAUAUGUUUCAUACCAGAAUUUGCAUAACAAAAAGUAAUGAAGAGAUUAAUUAAUAUGUAUGUGUCUCAGUGUGUGUACGGACAAAAUAUAUGCAUAAAGAGAGGCAUGGAAAAGGCUUAGCUGCUAAAUAAAAACAAUAACAAUUAUGUUUAUUACAUGGCCACAGUCAGCCUGGAGAGAGGUUCAUGAGAGACCUCUUUUAUUACAUUAAUUAAGAUAUGAUAAUCUGGAGAUAAAGUAAUACAGCCACUAGUGAAGAGGCCAUUUAUAUUAAAGCUCAUUAAUUCCUUCUCCUAAUUGCCAUUAAUGAACUUAUUUUGAAGAUCUUUCACUAUCUUUGGGUCCAACUGGAAUGCCUUGCCAAGAAAAUCGGGAUUGAUUGAAGGAUUGGCUCCAAAGACUGUGUCGGCUAUGGUAACUUCACCCGGGAAUUGGCUGUUUAGAGCAGAAUAGGCAGCUGCAUUUGUUUUUCCAAUGUUGAAUUGGAAGUGAAUCAAACCUUGUGGAAACACAAAAACAUCUCCCUUAUUUAGAACUUUUGCGAUGAGUGUGUUAUUCAGUUGGUCUGAUGUCACAAAACCGACAUAAAGAGUUCCUUCCAGGACUAAGAAGAUUUCGCUGGCACGGGGGUGAAUGUGAGGUGGCCUUUGGCCAUAUGGUGCAUAGUCAAUACAUAGUCAAUGCGGAAUGCUGAUAUGCCAAGGGUGUUGAGUCCUGGAAUUUGCUCAACAUUUGCAUCUGUUUCAUCAACACCAAGUCGAUUUGCUGUGUUUCCAGGCUUGCCUAGCCCUGAGAAGAAGAAAUCUUCUGCUCUCGCAAGCUUGGGGUCCUUGCAGAACUUCCCAUUCACAAACACUACAAGAACGCACAACACAUACGCACAAAGGGGGGGAAAAAGGAAUAAUUAAGUAGCAGAAGUACCCGCACAAAUUAUAUUGAAAAUUAUAUGUUUCAUCAGUUCAGUUUACGUACCACCAUCCUUGGGGUCAUUGAUGGCUACACAGACAUCUUGAAGAUGGCCAGGGUCAGUGGCAGAGGCCAAAGAAGAAGCCAAAGCCAAGAGGGCAAAACCUAUAAGAAAUUGAAUUACCUUCAUGGUGAUUAAGUCACAGGAUGUGCCUAUCUCAAACUUUAAUCAAGUGUUGUGAUUUGAGAAUCUUGUGAGGAACUAGACUAUUUAUAGAACCAAGUCCAUGAACGAGUUUGUGUGUUCAAUUAUUAGUCCUCGAAGCAAGUCAAGACUUAUUGGGUCCUUAAUAAUAUAACUUUGUAAUGUUUUGCAUCCCUCGUUUUCAUUUGUUUUUCAAAAUUUACAUGUAGAACUUGAUUGAUGGUACACAUCUUAAAUAUAAAUUGUAAAACAUACAAAAUAAUGUUUGGCUGACAAUGAUAUAACUUUGUAAUGUUUUGCAGCUCUCAUUUUCAUUUUUGUUUGUUUGCUGGUACACAUAUUAAAUGUAAAUUGGAAAACAUACAAAUCAAAGUCUGGCUACAAUGAUAAAUGAACCGACCAGCUUCGAAUUUUCCUGGGUAAAUUAAUCUAGUCUCAUCAAAACUGACUUGAUAUUAAUCUAAUUAAUGAAAAUUUUGUUAAAAAUUCAGCACUCUUUUAUAAACAUAACACUCUCAAUAUACAAAUAUGAAUAUAACACUCCCCAAAAUAAUUUAAUAUACAACCAACUCUAAUGAUCAACAUUCUCAAUAAAAAUACUAAAUUUUAGUAUUUGACUCAAAAUAUCUAUAGGGUAUCAAAAGAUUAUAUUAUAACUAAGGGAAAUUAUCAUUGCACCACCUUUAUUUUGUCUUAUGUUUAUCCAACCACUACAAAAUUUUAACAUGUACUUUGCACCAUUUUUCUUUUCACAUUUGUAUCAACUAGUCACUUUACAUUAACACUAUUAAAUAAUUUUAAUAAAAUGAUAAUUUUACCCUAAAUAAAUUAAAAGAUCAUUUUAUUUUAUAAAAAAUUUAAAAAAUAAAAAAAUAUAAUGGUUAUGUUUUUUAUUAAAUUUAGGGAUAUUUUUAUGAUUAUAAUUUUUAAUUUUAAAAAUUUUUAUAAGAUAAAAUAAUCUUUUAAUUUAUUUGGGGGUAAAAUUAUCAUUUUAUUAAAAUUAUUUAAUAGUGUUAAUGCAAAAGUGACUAAUUGAUACAAAUGUAAAAAAAAAAAUGGUGCAAAAUACAUGUUAAAAUUUUGUGGUGGCUGAAUGAACAUAAGGCAAAAUAAAGGUGGUGCAAUGAUAAUUUCCCUAUAACUAAUAUUAACAUAUUUGUUUAUUCUUAAUCCCAAAAGAAUAAUAUAACAAAAUUAUACAAUCCCAAAAGGGUGAGAUGAUCCGGAUGUCCUAACAAAAAAAUCAUCUAUAUCUUCUAAUAUCAUCACGUGGCCAAAACUCAAAAUAUAUUUACAGCCGCUGGGUCGGUUUGGUGUACCUGCAACCUCCUGUUGGGGGGAGGAAAAUAUAAUAAAAACCGAAUGAGUAUAAAACUCAGUGAGCUUAGUGAGUAUAUAGUAAUUUUUGAAAACAAAUUUUUACUUUAAAAGAAAUAAUCAUAUCAUUUCCAAACACAAUUUCAUCAAACCAUAUGCGAGAAACCAGUAAUAAAUCAUUUAACAUUUAAAUCAGAUUACCAACCUUGAAAAGCAUAUAUAAUAUCGUAGCUAAUAACCAUGGAAAUCAUAUCACAAUAUCAUAUAGAAUACACAAAUAUGAAAAUCAUCACUAAACAAGUACCAAGAGGAAUAAUCUCAUCGUAUCCGGACCUCAACGGAUGGACAAUGACGUACUAUUUAGAUAUUGUCACACCCCGGAACUACACGGAUAGACAAGAAAAUAUCAUCUCAUAUCUCAUGAUAUAUGUGCAUGUAUAAUCUAGUCCCCAAAGGACAAAAGCGCCCAAGCACAUGGCCCAAAGCCUCUAUGUGUACUCAGACGAGCCCUCAAUGCAUGUAUCUCAUAUGUAUCAUCUGUAUAUGUAUCACUGUUAUCAUCAUAUCACAUGCAUAUGCCCCCAAAAGGCAGAAGUGCCUAAACACACGGCCCAAAGCCUCUAUGUGUGUUCAGACGGGCCCCAAAGACCUCUCAUCUCUAUACUUAUAAAAGAGAAGGGUAUUGUCGAAUGAUUUUAAAAACAAUCUCUAUACUCAUAUUCAUAUAAAUUAUAAUCAUACUUUAAAUCAUACAUUUCUUUUUAUUAUCACAUCUAAAUCCACUUUUCUCAUCUUUAAAAUACCAUAAUAUUUUAUUCAAAGUCGAUACGAAAAACUAUUAACGAAACAUUUUAAUAUAAUAUCAAUGCGUGAAUAAAAUCCAUUUCAAGAAAAUCAUUAAUGCGUGAAUAAAAUCCAUUUCAUAUCAAUGCGUGAAUAAAAUCCAUUUCAAGAAAAUCAUUAAAUCAGAACAUUUAAAAUACUUAUUUCGCAAACAUACUUUACUAUCAUAAUUAAUUAUGAAAAUAAAUUUUGUAUAUUCCACUCACAGUGACGAUGUUUACGCUCGGUUAUCGUCCACGUCCGCGGACUGACUCUCACUUGCGGAUCCUCCUAAAUCAAGAAAACGACAUAAUUAUUUUCUAUAAAUCAGAAUUAGGACUAAAUUUAUGCAACAAACUCGAAACAAACAUCUAUCCAUAAUUUACAACUCCCGUAUCGAUAAAAUUACUAAAAUACCCUUAAAUAUGUAAAUCAUUAAGAUACUUCGAAAUUAUAAAUCACCGAAUUACCCUCGGAAUCAUAAUUACACCCAAUCUUCAAUUUCAGGAAUUACUAAAAUAUCCACAGGCUCAUAAAUUACAAAACCGCUAUCAAAAUGUGAAAUUACCGAAUUGCCCUUACCGGUCAACGGUGGCCGGAAUUCAAGCAACGGUGACCGGGAAGCUCAGGUCAGACGCUUCUCGCUGAGCUGAGUUCAAUGAUACCGGCAGUGUGCUCCCACGCGUGGCGACGGCACCAGAAUCUAGCUCGACAGUCGUGUUACUACAACGGCUGAACCACGACAAAUCGACGGCUCUUGGUGGGUGUGGAUGGUCAGAAAAUUAAAGGGGAGUCGUGGGGAACAAAAUCCAGCCGGUGCUGUCACCCAAAACCGGUGAAAAUCUCAACAGAGCAAGGUGGAAAAGUAGCGGGUUUUUCAAGCUUUGGUCACCGACGUUCUAGCUGUUUUCCGGCGACGUGGACGAUUGGGGCAUGAUGGCCGGUUUGCAAGCUUCAGAUUGGUACCAAACUUGACCGGUUGGGUGGCCGGAAUCACAAGAUAUCGCCGGGUCGAAUUUCAGGUCAAACGGGUCGGGUUUCGGGUCGGUUUACAGCUUCUCUCACUCUCUCGUACGUGUGUAUCUGUUUCCCUGUGUCAAACUUCUUCUUUUACUUUUAUUUACUUUUUAACCGCCUCAUCUUUUUUUUUUUUUUUUUUCCACGUGUGUUACAAUAAAACCCAAAACAGGUUAGACACGUUUCCACCAAUCUUCAAAACGAACAUAAAAUAUAAUAAGAAACAAUAUUUUAACGCGUUUCCAAAGCAUAAUUAAAAUAUAAUUUUUUCAUUGGAAAGAAACGAGUUGAAGAAUUUAUGAAAAUGGGUGAGAAACAAAUUCAAGUCUCUGGCCACAGGCUAACAGUUGAGAGUCAUGUUCUGUAAAUAUCGAUGUUACCGGACUUGAUUGGUUUGUUGUUGGACUUAAUGAAGAUGCAUUAUUAGCCAUUUUUUCUUUUUCAUAUCAAUUUUCAUAGCUGCUUUAAUCAUUUUUAGUUAUGAAUGCAUUACCAAUGAUGCACUUGUUUUUUUCAUUACGUGUUAAAAUAUUGUUUUCUGUAAAUAUCGAUGUUACCGGACUUGAUUGGUUUGUUGUUGGACUUAAUGAAGGUGCAUUAUUAGCCAUUUUUUUCUUUUUCGUGGCUGCUUUAGCCAUUUUUUCUUUUUCGUGGCUGCUUUAACCAUUUUUAGUUCUAUGAUUGCUUUACCAAGUCAAUGAUGCACUUGUUUUUUUUCAUUAAGUGUUAAAAUACUGUUUUCAGUGGUCACGUUAAUUGAUAUAUAUCAUUUUCCAUCUUAUUUUCAGUGAUCACAAAUCAAAAUGUGAAUAAGCUGGUGUCGGCACGUUUGGUUAGAGAUAGUGAUAUCAUUUUCCAAUGUCAAGUGAUAUAUAUCAUUUCAACUUUAAAAGCUAAUUUUAAUAUUUAAUAAAUAUUUUUACAAAUAACUUUUAGUAAAAUCAUGUAAAUUUUGAAAAAUAGAAAAAAAUAGUUUUUUAAAAUCUGAUUUCGAGAAUCACUUUUAUACUUAAUAUAUAAUUUAUAUAUAUCCUCAUAUAUAAGACAAAAAUUCAAAAUCAUCCUUAUUAAUUAGAAAAUAAAAUUAUUAAUUUUAAAAAAUUAUUAUUAUUAUCAAUUAUAUUGAGAUAACAAAAUAAAAAAUAAAAUUGAUAAUAUAAAAUAUUUAUUUUAGUUAUCAAUUAUUAUAUAUACACAACUAAAAAUAUUUUAUUUACAUGUUUAUAAAUGUGUAAUUAAAUUUUAUUCAACAAAUGUUCACUUCACUUAUUUAUAUUCUUACAACAUUUUAACAUUAAGAUUUACCAAAUACAUACAACCGCUUUUAAAACUCACAACAUUUUUAAAAAUAAAUUUUACUAAACUUUUAAUUGGUUCUCUAUUAUAGCUGAUUAUUUCUACAGUAUGACUAACAAUAAUUAUUUUAAAAACUAUAACAUUAUUAACUUAGCCCUUAGUGACUCAAUUGAUUAAAAUUAAGUCAAUUAAAUCACUAAGUUAGGAAAACAAACCGCCCUUUAGUUACUUUCUUAAUGUAAAUAUUAGUAAAUUAUAAUGCAAAUAAAGAUAAUAAUCUCUUCCUUUGUUCACUUUUUUAAUUAAAAUUAGUUGCAUUAGCUAUUUUGAAUAACAAAUUGAAUUGAUCACGAAAUAAUAAUCUCUUCUUCCAAUCAUAUGAGUGGGUUUGAGUGACUCAGGUAGUCAUGGGAAUUUGUUUUAUUUGAUUUCUACACUUGGCUUUUUAGGAUUAUUUGUAAGGACAUUAAUUAUGUAUUUUUAAUGGGUUUAUAUGUUAAUUAUAUUGCAUGUAAUAUUAAAGGUUUGUCAACAAGUUGGCAACCAUUUAAGAGUAUCUCCAAAAAUCUUUAUAAAUUUUAUUCUUUAAAUAUCUAUUUACUUACCUAUGUGACAAAUAGAAGGGUGAAAAAAUAUGAUAUUCUCUAAAAGUCUCUUCAAAUAAAAAUAGGUUAAUAUUAUUUUAAUCAAAUAAUAAUUUUUUUAAAGGAAAAGUCAAUAUCAAUUAAAGCACUUAUCUCUCUUUCUCCAAUGAAAAGUAAGAAAACAUAAAUUGAAGAUGGAGAAAUCAAAUCUUCAAAUUUAAAAAGAGAUAAUCAUUUCUUAUUUAAAAAAUCUUAAUUGAAGUGUCUUUUGAAGUCGUAAAUAUUGAUGUGGCUCUUUAAAUAAGUAAUAAAAUCUUAUUUGAAGAGCGUUUUGGUGAUGCUCUAAUUAGUUAAAAUGCAUUCAUGUCAGUAUUUAAGAUACGUAUCACUUUCUGGCAACAAUGUUAAUAUAUGUUUCCGUUCGAACUUUCCACUUGCUGCUUGACCCAUGUAAGUUAUGAAAAAGUUUCCGAGAAUUGACUUACAAAAGGAUGCUAAUCUCUUUUCUUUUUCUCUUUUUUCCGGGGGAAAUUGCAGGUCAAGAAUCUGGAGAGGUCAUAUUUCAAAAUGUCGAGGCUCCAUUGUUAGCUAUUUUGAAUAACAAAUUGAAUUGAUCACGAAAUAAUAAUCUCUUCUUCCAAUCAUAUGAGUGGGUUUGAGUGACUCAGGUAGUCAUGGGAAUUUGUUUUAUUUGAUUUCUACACUUGGCUUUUUAGGAUUAUUUGUAAGGACAUUAAUUAUGUAUUUUUAAUGGGUUUAUAUGUUAAUUAUAUUGCAUGUAAUAUUAAAGGUUUGUCAACAAGUUGGCAACCAUUUAAGAGUAUCUCCAAAAAUCUUUAUAAAUUUUAUUCUUUAAAUAUCUAUUUACUUACCUAUGUGACAAAUAGAAGGGUGAAAAAAUAUGAUAUUCUCUAAAAGUCUCUUCAAAUAAAAAUAGGUUAAUAUUAUUUUAAUCAAAUAAUAAUUUUUUUAAAGGAAAAGUCAAUAUCAAUUAAAGCACUUAUCUCUCUUUCUCCAAUGAAAAGUAAGAAAACAUAAAUUGAAGAUGGAGAAAUCAAAUCUUCAAAUUUAAAAAGAGAUAAUCAUUUCUUAUUUAAAAAAUCUUAAUUGAAGUGUCUUUUGAAGUCGUAAAUAUUGAUGUGGCUCUUUAAAUAAGUAAUAAAAUCUUAUUUGAAGAGCGUUUUGGUGAUGCUCUAAUUAGUUAAAAUGCAUUCAUGUCAGUAUUUAAGAUACGUAUCACUUUCUGGCAACAAUGUUAAUAUAUGUUUCCGUUCGAACUUUCCACUUGCUGCUUGACCCAUGUAAGUUAUGAAAAAGUUUCCGAGAAUUGACUUACAAAAGGAUGCUAAUCUCUUUUCUUUUUCUCUUUUUUCCGGGGGAAAUUGCAGGUCAAGAAUCUGGAGAGGUCAUAUUUCAAAAUGUCGAGGCUCCAUUGUUCUGGGCAGAAGCCCCAACACUUCAAAGUAACUGAGAAUGACUUGGACUUCCCUUGCGAUAGAUAGGUAGACGGGAAGGGAAACGGGAUUGCAGAUAAAAGCAAAGAGAAAUAAUAGAACGAUGAUUAUUGUAUUUAGAAGAAAUUGUUUCACCUUAUUCAAAUGACGCCAUGGCUGUGUUUGUGAUGUCAGUGCUGACGAUGGAUUGUAGUUUGUGUCCAAAUGUACCUUCUUCUUUUUUUGGGUCUGAACCAUCCGGUAUCCGGCGAUCACAUUGGGCCCCGACUACUCCGGAUUCGGGACGGGUGCUAAUAAAGCCCUCCCAACGAGGGCGACUCCCAGAGAACUCGAACUGAAGAGCUAACCCAAUCAACCCACCUAAGGAGUUCAGCCGGCGCCAGCUGAACCAACACCUCGUUGGUUCCAAAUGUACUUUUCUAUGUAUAAGGAUUCGUAAAAAACGUUGGAGAUUAGAAAAGAAAAUAAAUAGAUCCUUCCUCAAGCUGUCGGUGCUCUUCUAUUAGAGUUGGGACCAGUGGCACCUCUUUAAUCUCAUCAUAAAAUUCCUUUUUCAGUUAUAUUUACUUUAUUUGUGAUAAUGUCUUUUUUUUCCUUUUUUUAUUUUAAGAACACUUUUAAUUUUUUAUUUAAUUUUUUUAGUUAAAACUUUAAAAGUAGUAGUGUUAUUCAUUUUUUAUUUCUUUUGUAAUCUUAUUAUUAUCUUACGCAUAAAUUAAAAGAUUUAAAAAAAAAUUUAGGUGAUGAAUUUUUUAAUGUUAAUUAUUUAAUUAAAUUAUACAUAUGUUAAACUAUAAUUUAAAAAUAAUUUUUAAGUACACAAAUAUUUAAUUAAUAAGAAAUAUGAAAAGAAUAAUAGAUUAUUUCAAAUUUUGUAUGGUUUAUUUUAGUUAGAUAAGAAGUAACCGGCAAAAAAUUUAAAAAAAGAUUGAUUAUAAUUAUAAGUAAUUUUUUUUAAAGAUAGAUUAUGAAUAUAAGUGAUUUAUUAAAAAAAAAAUUAUGUAUGAUUAAUUUUAUUUGAAGCAGGGUUUUGAAGGAUAAUGAAGGGGUCCCAAACGCUGUGGGUUUGUUGGCUCUUCCGCUGUCAAAAGUCACGUAUGCUUGGAAGCUUUUAAAAAGCAUGAUGGUAAUGUAAUACUGCAAUUGGAUCAUGGAUUUUUCAUUUAAGAAGAUAGCCACCUGGCGGCAACUCUGAUAUACAAAACAUGUAUUUCAGAAUACGGAAUCUAUCCAAACAUAUAGCAUGCAAGUGCGAUUGCCAGCUCGAGCAGUUUUUAUUGCGGAAUUCUUUCAAACACAUAGCACGCAUGUGAAGUUCCCGCAUUGGACCUUCCAAGAUGUUAGUUUCUCUAUUCAGAAACUGAACUCAAUGCCUCAUCCCCUCCUUCAAAGCCAUGACCCUCGUGGCCGCGGUUAACACCUCAUAUUGGGAAAGGGACUAUCACAACCAGUUGUAAAUUAAGCGGAAACAAAACUUUUUCUCUUUUUGUGUGAUUAAAAUAUGAUGUGUACCACAAAUAAAUAGGCAGAAAAAUAAACUAAUAAAUCUAAAGUAAAAACCAACCACAAGAGACACAAAUUUUUAUGUGAAAACCCCAAAGCGAAAAAAACUAUGGGACCGUAAUCCGAUAUAAUCUUUCAAUAUAUUAAUGAGAUUACAACACAAAUUCUUCUCUAGAUAAUACUAAAAGCUACCAACAUCAAGAAUCUCAAUAUUCUUGGCUUACAGUAACAGUCUAAUAAACAGUCUCUCUAAUAAGUAGGUAUCUUAAAUAAUAGCCAACGAGAGAAUAAAAUAAAAAUUAAGACCAAUAAAAUUAUAGAAGGCGAUGUCAAGAACUUACCCUCAAAAUUUAAGAGAAAAUGGAGUUAAAAUCGCCUUCUGAUCAUCUAAUUAAAGAUUGAAAAUCUUACCCCCAAAUAAUCUCAACUCUACUGUCUAUUCUUUUCCCUCCCGUCUUUCUCUUCUCUCAAAAGGUUACUGCCGCCUCCACUUAUGCUUGUUUAUAUAGCCAAAUUUCAUGAAAAUUUUCAUUUGCCCCCUUUAAGUUUUCUUUAAUUACUUAAUUAUCCAAACUUAUUAAACUUUGAGCUUGGGCCAACCAAAUAAGAUGGACCCAACAAAUCUCCCUCUUCAGAUCAUAUGGGGGGCACCACUAAACCCGCUUUCUAUAUACAACUUUAUAGCUUUUCCUUGGACAAUGAUUUUGUCAUCAUAUCUGACCCAUUCUCCAUUAUGUGUAUCUUUUCAACCUACAACUGUUUCUUCUCAAGCACAUCUCGUAUCCAAUUAUACCUCACAUCAAUAUGCUUGGAUUUUGAAUGGUAUGUCGAAUUCUUUGCCAAGUGAAUGACACUCUGACUGUCGCAGUACACAACAAAAUUAUCUUGCUUCACACCCAAAUCUUGUAAGAAAUUCUUCAUCUACAAGGUUUCUUUGCAACCUUCAGUGAUUGCAAUAUACUCUGCUUCUGUGGUAGACAAGGCAACACAUUGCUGAAGUUUAGACUGCCAUGAGACUGCUCUCCUUGCAAAGGUGAGCAAAUAUUCUGAUAGAGAUUUUCUGGAAUCAACAUCUCCUGCCAUGUCUGGAUUAAUGUACACUUAUAACACAAGUUUAUCACCAUCAAAACAUAAACAUGCAUUGGAAGUGCCUCUAAGGUAUAUGAGAAUCUACUUUACUACAGUCCAGUGUUCUUUGCCCAGAUUAGAGAGAAACCGACUGACUACACUAACUGCAUGAGCAAUAUCUGGUCUUGUACAAACCAUGGUGUACAUCUAACUACCAACUGCUGAAGUAUAAGAAACUCAUUUCAUCUUUUGCUUCUAUUUCUCACUUGUAAGAGAAUGCUUGGAAGUAAGCUUGAAAUGGCCUGCAAGUGGAGAACAAACUGGUUUUGUCUUGCUUAUGUUAAAUCUUUCAAGAACCUUUUCAACAUAUAUUUCUUGAGAUAACCAUAACUUCCCAGAUUUUUUAUCGCGGGAAAUCUUCAUGCUAAGAAUCUGUUUCACCGGUCUUAAGUCCUUUAUUUGCAAAAGACUUGCUAAGCUCCCUCUUCAGAUUGUCAAUCUUACUAGCAUCUCAGCCAACAAUCAACAUAGCAUCCACAUAAAGCAAAAGAAUAAUGAAAUAAUUAUCACCAAAUUUCUUCACAAAAAUACAAUAGUCACACAUAGUCUUACUGAAACCAUGAUUCUCCAUAAAAGAAUCAAACUUCUUGUACCACUGCCUUGGUGCCUGUUUUAGCCCAUACAAACUUUGGCUCCUCCCCCACCUUUCUUUCUUUUCUGAAAUAAGUGCAUCUGACUUAGAGGGAACCGCUUCAACACUUUUUCUUCUAGAUUCUUCAUUCUGCAGCCUAUCUGUAACCAUAUUCAAGGUUAAUUUCCCAUUCGACACUGAAUUAUUUACCGACACCACUAAUGUCUCCCAAUUAUCAGGCAAAGAACUAAGCAACAACAAUACUUGUAACUCAUCAUCUAGAAUAUUUUUCAUAGUAGUCAACUGAUCAACCAAGCCUUGAAACUCACUAAUGUAUUCAGUUGUACUGCGCCCUUCCUUGUAUUUCAAAUUAACAAGUCUUUUCAUCAGAUUGACUUUAUUAUGUGCUGUCGGCUGCUCAUAAAUCGUCUCUAAUUUUCUCCAAAUAACAUCAACCUUGGAUUCUUUCGCGUCACGGUGAUACACACUUUGAUCAAUCCAUGAUCUAAUAGUACCCACAAUCUUCUAGUUUAAUUGAGCCCAUUUCUUAUUAUCUAAAUCGGCGGGUCUAUCUUAUUCGCCUUCAAUGGGUUCAUGUAAGUCUUUUAUGUACAACAAAUCUUCCAUCCUAGACAUCCAAAUACCAUAAUUUCAUGAUUUUAAUUUAAUCAUGCAUGCCAAGGACUCCUCCAUCUCAACCACAUAAGUAAUAAAAAUACAAAACCUAACGCUCUGAUACAACUCUGUUAGGAAAAUGCACUACCACAACCAGUUGCAAGUUAACCGGAAACAAAAUUUUUUCCCUUUUUGUGCGAUUAAAAUAGGAUGUAUACCACAAAUAAAUAGACAGAAAAAUAAACCAAUAAAUCCAAAGCAAAAACCAACCACAAGAGAUAUAGAUUUUUACAUGGAAAAUCCAAUAUGGGAAAAACCACGGGACCGUAGUAUAAUAUAAUCUUCCACUAUAUUAAUGGGAUUACAGUACAAAUUCUUCUCUAGAUAAUACUAGAGGUUACCAACAUCAAGAAUCUCAAUAUUCUUAGCUUAUAGUAAUAAUUUAAUAACAGUUUCUCUAACACGUGGGUAUCUCAAAUAGUAGCCAACGAGAGAAUAAAAUAAAAAUUAAGACCAAUAGAAUUAUAGAGGGCAAUGCCAGGAACUUACCCUCAAAAUUUGAGAGAAAACAAAGUUAGAAUCACCUUCCGAUUGUCUAAUUAGAGAUCGAAAAUCUUAGUUAGAAUCACCUUCCGAUUGUCUAAUUAGAGAUUGAAAAUCUUGCCCCCAAAUAAUCUCAAAUCCAUUGUCUUUUCUUUUCUCUCCCGUCUUUUUUUUGCCGCAAAAGGUUGCUGUCACCUCCACUUAUGCUUGCUUAUAUAGCCAAAUUUCAUAACAAAUUUUAUUUGCCCCUUCAAUUUUCCUUUAAUUGUUUAAUUACCCAAACUUAUUAAACUUUGAGCUUAGGCCACCAAAAUGAGAUUGACUAACACCUCAAAAGACGAUUACUACGCAGCCGUAAACCACAUCGCCAACAUAGUCCGUCACGAAAUAGAUCCAGAACGCACCCUCAACAGACUCAACCUCACCCUCACCUCAGAGAUUGUCUACUGCGUCCUCCGCAUCUGCCAUACUACUUCCCCUUCUGAAUCCCUCCGCUUCUUCACCUGGGCCUGCUCCCAGCCCUAAUACUCCCCCACCUCCCUCGAAUUCGAACAGCUCAUUUGAUCCUUGCCCACCACAAACUCUACCAGUCUAUGUGGAAUCUACAUUCUUUUGGCAUUUGAUUGCGUUACGCACAAGCACGCUGUUAUUUAUUUUUAAGCAACAAUGGUGUUUGUAAUUAUUGCCUUUUCUGGCUUUAUCUAGUGUUUAUCUGAGUAAUAAACAAUACUAAAUAGUUUGGUUGAUGGACUCUUGGACUUGGUGAAGAAACGUGUUUUCAUUUCUUAAAUAAAACAUUAUACACUGAGAGUUAUUUAUAGAUGCAGAGGCUACAUUUUUUCAAAGAUUACAUAUGUGAAUACGGAAGGAAAUGUGUCAAUCCGUUCGACGCGGAUCUUGUCUUUGACAAGUGCAUAUUAUCCUUUUGACAAGUGUGGAUUCUGUCUUUGAAAGCUUCAUUCAAUGCCGUUUUUUUUAUCCUCAACACUCCUCCUCAAGCUGGUGCAUAGAUAUCUUGCAUACCCAACUUGUCUAGGAAUUUUGUAAAUGCCCUGCUUGAAAUGGCCUUCGUUAAAAUAUCUGCAAGUUGAUAUUCUGAUCGAAUUUUCGGCAGUUCUAAGAUUUUUUCAUCUAAUUUCUCAUUGAUGAAAAAUCUAUCUACCUCGACAUGUUUUGUUCGAUCAUGUUGAACUGGGUUAUGAGUAAUAUCUCGUGUAGCUUUAUUGUCACAGUAUAGUUGUAUUGGUUGUUGUGACGGAUAGCCCAAAUCAUUUAAGAUAAAACUUAUCAAUAGCCCUUUACAUACCCCAAGGGCCAUGCCUCGAUAUUCUGCUUUAGCGCUCGAACGGGCAACGACAUGUUGUUUCUUGCUUCUUCAUGUGACAAGGUUGCCUCCCACAAAAGUAAAGUAUCCUAAAGUAGAGCGUCUAUCACUAACUGACCCGGCCCAAUCUGCAUCAGUAUAAACUUCUAUGUUGCUGUAAUCUUUAUUUUUGGAAAAUAGGAUUCCUUUUCCUGGAUUUGUCUUCAUGUACCUCAGGAUCCGCAUUACUGCUUUCAUGUGUUGUUCUCCGGGAUUAUGCAUAAACUGACGUACAACACUCAAUGCAUAAGCAAGAUCUGGCCUUGUGUGGGACAAGUACAUCAAUCUUCCAAUCAACCUUUGAUAUCUUCCUUUGUCUACUGGAACUUGGUCUGAGGUAAUACAAAACUUCAGUCCUUCUUCUAUUGGGGUGUCAAUAAAUCUGACAAGCUGUCAUUCCUGUUUCGUGCAAUAGAUAUAAGGCAUAUUUCCUUUGAGACAGAAAGAUUCCUCCCUUAGAUCGAGAAACCUCAAUUCCAAGAAAGUAUUUUAAGGCACCUAAAUCCUUCAUCUCAAACUCUCUUGACAAGUACUUCUGAAGAACCUCUGUUUCUUCCUCGUCGUUGCCUGUAACUACCUUAUCAUCCACAUAGACAAUAAAGGCAGUGAUUUUAUCUUGUCAUUUUUUAAUGAAUAAGGUAUGAUCUGAAUUGCUUUGGUUAUACCCAAAACGAACCAUAGCCUUUGUGAAUUUCUCGAACCAUGCUCUUGGGGAUUGCUUCAACCCAUACAAUGAUUUCUUCAAUUUGCAUACUUUUUUAUUGAGUCAUUCUGGUCCACUGCAUCCUGGUGGCAAAUCCAUAUAAAUUUCUUCAAACAGGUCUCCAUGGAGGAAAUCAUUUUUUACAUCAAACUGUUGCACUGGCCAAUCCAAGUUGACUGGUAAUGAUAAUAAGAUACGAAUAAUAUUAAUUUUUGCUGCCGGUGCAAACAUAUCAGUAUAAUCAAUCCCGUAGGUUUGGGUGUAACCCUUAGCUACGAGUCUUGCUUUGUAUCGUUCAAUAGAGCCAUCUGCUUUGUACUUUAUAGUGUAGAUCCAUCGACAACCCACUGGUUUCUUUUCUGGUGGAAGAUCAACUAGUUCCCAUAGUCGCUUUCCACUUUGGGUCUUUUAAGGCUUCCUGCACACUAUUAGGAAUAGAUACAGUAGAUAAUUGAUUCACAAAUGACUGAUUUGAUUCUGACAAGCGAUGGUUAGACACAAAAUGACUCAUAGGGUAAUUAACUAUACUAGAGAAGUCAGGCUCGUAUGUGGGUUUAGGGAUACCUCUAUUUUGACGUUGGGAAAGAAUUCUUUUGAUUGGACUUGUGGUAGGAACAUCCUCUACAGACGAUUGGUUAGGUAUUUCUUCAUGUGACUCAUUCUCGAUUGCAGUUGUGUCUAAGUUAUUUUGCUCCCCAAAUGUGUCUUCACUUAUCUCAGCCUGAGAAUCACCACCAUUUUCUUUUCCAGUAUCUUGAAGGUUUACAACCUCAAUGGAAGAUUGAUCUUCUUUAGGUGGAAGAUAUAUAAGAUUAUGAAUUUCCUCUUCAUUAUACUCCCCCUGAAAUUCAGGCUUUGACAAGUAGUAUAUGAUAUCUUCAUGAAAGACGACAUCCAUGGUGAUGUAUAUUUUUCUUGAUGGUGGAUCAUAUCAUCGGUAUCCCUUUUGCUGUAAGGCAUACCCUACAAACACACAACGUAGUGCUCGAGGAGAUAAUUUGUCUUGUUGCGGCAAAUGAACGAAGGCAACACAGCCAAACACAUGUGGGGGCAGAUUCGGCACAUUUGGUGACAUAAUUGCAUUAUUCAGAACUUGAAAAGGAGUCUGGAAUCCAAGGGAGCUUGAAGGUGUUCGAUUGAUCAAGUAUGCUGCGGAUGCCAGUGUUUCUCCCCAAUAAGAUAGUGGCAUGUGGGCUUGGAUUCGUGAUGCUCGAACAACUUCUAGUAAAUGUCUGUUUUUUCGUUCAGCAACCCCAUUUUGUUGGGGUGUCCCCACACAAGUGGUUUGAUGGACAGAUCCUUGUGAUUUCAGAAACUGUUGAAUUGUUGUGCUCAUAUACUCGCCUCCAUUAUCAGUAUGUAGAACUCGAAUUUGUGUCAUAUGAUCAAAAGUCAUAUGAUCAGUUGCCCCAGAAUCAAUUAUCUAUGUACUAUUAAUAACAGGUGUAAGAGUUUUAAGGGCCAUACCUGGACUGACAGAGGUUGCGAUUUGCACUGAAGAUUCUUUUCUAAGAUCUGUAGUGGAUGUGGAUUCAGCUACUGCAGUUUUUGAUCCAUACUUGGUGUUCUUCUUUCGAGUAUCCUACCAGUCAGGAUAUCCAAUGAUUUCAAAACAUUGUUCUUUCGUAUGACCCUUCUUUCUACAAUGAGUGCAAUGGAGUGAUGACUUGUCAACAAACUUCCUUUGAGGCUGCUGUCGUGCUAUCAUAGCAAACGUUUCUGAGUCGACCUUCUUGUUUAGUUUGCUUUGCCGCACAUCUUCUCUUCAGAUCAGAGAAUAACAUUAUUCUAAGUCUGGGAUAAUUUCUUUUCGUAGAAUUUCUCCACGAACUUGGUCAAAUUCUUCAUCUAGCCUAGCAAGAAAAAUGUGCACUCUCAAUCUUUCAACAGACCUUCUGUAUAUUACAACAUCUUCUGAAUCCUUCACGACCACUUUAUCUCAGUGAUCAAGUUCUCGAAAUAUUUUGAUCAAUUCUCCAUAGAAUUUAGAGAGUGGUUGUCCAUUUUGCUUGGUAGAGAAUGCCUUCUGGUUUAGAGUGAAAACUUGUAAUUCAUCGCUUUCAUCAUAGAAGGCUUUUGAUAAUGCAUCCCAAAUUUCGUAGGUUGUAGGAAUUCGUAAAUAUCGCUUCAUGAUCUCCGGAGACAUGGAUAUGAGUAACCAUCUUUUUGCUUUUUGGUUCUCACUAUACCAUUUCUCAUAUUCCUUUGAAGAUUCCUCAUAUGGCUUUGUACUACUACGAAUAUAUGAGAGUUUUUCUCUUUCUGCAAGAUGCAUCUCCAUUAUUUGAGACCAAACAUCGUAGUUUGUCUCAGUGAGGAUAAUUUUAGCAUUAAAUACUCUAUCAGAUUGAACAGAUUGAAUGACAACAGGACUAGAUUCAGUUGGAGUUUUCUCCAUUUUUUUUUGUUUUUUUUUCGUCUAGAUUGAAAGAAGAAAAAAAAAAUAACCUUUUUAGAUAACAAAACGACAAGUCGUUUAGCCACUGCUUGAAAAACCGACAUGUCAGUUAUGGUGGAAUAUAAACGACAUGUCGUUUUAAUCCUGCUGCACUUCUGGAGACUAAACGUCACGUCGUUUUAUCUCUAAUUUAAAAACGACAUGUCGGUUUUAAUAUAAUAAAAACGACACGUCGUUUUUACUGCUGCACACCGGAGAUAAAAAAUGACAUGUCGGUUUACGUCUUCUUCAACCUCUGGAGCGCGUGAGAGCGCGUGAAUGAUGACAGAGGUGCGUGGUUGACUGGCCGUGGCUUCGGGUGGCGCGUGUGAGCGCGUGGAAAUGUGUUUAAAUGCGAAAUUUUUACAGUUUCCUCACUGGAAACUGAGAAAUGUGAUGGUAUUCUUGGUUUUUUUAGGAACACACUCUUGGAAAAUUGAUGGGAUUGUUGAUAAAUUUGUUAACUCAAGUUUUUUACGUAUGAGUGGCUUGUUUCUUGAUCGGCAUGGAUAUCUGUAAUGGUAGGAAUGGGUUUAAGAAAGAAAAUGGUGGGAAAAAUGGUUGUGGGAGGAAUUUGGUUUCCUCUGUUUUUGUUACAAACAGAGCAGCGGAACGUGAAGAAACUUGAGAGUAUUCAUGGCUCUGAUACCAUGAAGAAACGUGUUUUCAUUUCUUAAAUAAAACAUUAUACACUAAGAGUUAUUUAUAUAUGCAGAGACUACAUUUUUUCAAAGAUUACAUAUGUGAAUACGAAAGAAAAUGUGUCAAUCCGUUCGGCGCGGAUCUUGUCUUUGACAAGUGCAGAUUAUCCUUUUGAUAAGUGCGGAUUAUCCUUUUGAUAAGUGCGGAUUCUGUCUUUGAAAGCUUCAUUCAAUGCCGUUUUAUUUGAUUCUCAACACUUGGUAUUGGACUUUGAAUUGACACAAAGCCGGUUGACUCGGAGAAAUGAUUACUUUGAACAUUUUUCGCAUGCAUCAUUUGCUCAUAACUUUGUUGUUCAUCCACAUGAAAUCAAAUACUCAUUUGGUAUGAUAAAAAUCAAUGGGCAAUCAUUUUUAUGUUAGCUUAAAAACUAGGUUAUCUUUGCAUAACUAUAGUUUUAGAGUUUCUGUUUAUGUACUUUAUGCUUUCAACUUCUGAUGAUGAAUCGAGUGUUGAGCCCAGAGCAAGCUUUCCUGUUGAAGGAUAUUAAUUUGCAACUAAUUCAUCGGUUACACAUACAGUUAGAAAAAUGUGUACCCGAAUGCCAUGUUAUUGCAUUUACUAAUGUAUAGUUCAUAAGCAUGUCUCUCACUGUAUACACGAUUAAGGGUGGGUCUGCCUACUACUUUAUAACAAUUUGGGAUGUUCAAAAUUCAAUUCUAUCUGCUCAAUCCGUCUGAUCCGUAGAAAUCCAAUCUGUAAAAAUUUGAUUCGCAGAUUGGUGGAUUGGAUUGAAAAUUUGAUAAUCUGCAAUCGGUGGAUUGGAUAUGGAUCUACUUCUAUAAAUCCGCAAACAAAUAAUAAGUAGUUAUUUAAUUAAAAAAUAAAACUUAUAAAUAUGACAUUAGUACUUACUAGUAAAUAAAUAAGUUAAAAUAUAGUUACAUUAACACUAUAUUAUAUAUUAUCAAAUAAUAAUAUAACAUAAAAAAUAAUUAAAUAAACAAAUAUAGCUUCCUAAAUAGUUAAUUUCAUAUAUUGAUCUAAACAAAUAAGAUUUUUUUCUUUUUAAUGUGUUAUAUUUUGAAACUUUAAAUGUAUUUUCUAGCUUUAUUUAAAUAAUUAAUUAAUUUAAAUCUUAUUUAAUUUUAAAUUUGAUCGGUAUUAAAAUUAGUUUUAUAUUUAAUUUUUUUAUUUAUUUAGUUCGUGCAUUGGACAGAAUUAAGAAUUUUCAGUCCGUAAACCAACCUACAAAAUGGUGGAUUGGAUAUAGAUCGGGUCAAAUUCGCAUCCGAUCCGUAAACGUAUGAAUUGGAUUUGAAUUUCACCAAUCCAUGGAUUGAAUUAGAUUGAAAAUUUAUAAUCCGCAAAAUCGUGGAUCGAAUAUGAAUUGAUAUCCAAUCCGUAAAAUCCAAUCAGCGAACACCGCUAAUAACAAUUUAUGUUAUACUGACAAUAUUUUCCGUACUGAUCACAAGUUUAAAGUUUUGCUUCUCGAAAUGGCUCCUUUCAUUUGUUUAUUUAUUUAUUAAAAUUGACAUUUUUUAUUUUUUAUUUUUUUGACAAGGAAGGUAAUUGAGGUGUUUAACGAGGGGAUGAUGUUUUCCUUUAAAAGAAUAAAUAAAUAAAAGACAAAUUUUUAUGCUAUGGGGACAAAAUGCCAAUUGAGAAGAAUUCUGUCCCACUAAAAUUGGGUUAAGUAUUUAAUUUGAAUUGGCAUCUAAAACAGUUGUAGGCUAACCAAUAUUUCUACGAAAAAAAAAAGUCAGAAUUAUUGCUAGCUUCUUGUCUUUAAUUUUCUAAACUCUGGGCAGUUGGUGUAGUAGUUUUUGCUGCUCUUCUCUUUGCGGCUAUAGAGGCUAUAGCCGAACGUGAACUAGGAAAGUGGAAACGUUGCACCUUAACAUACGUCGUCAACUACGACUACAAAUCUAUUUCAUGGUCCCAAAAUAUCAAUCAGUGCCAUUGUAAUUAUCAAAACUAAAAAAUUAUGGUUUUAAUAAGUUACAGUUACUAUCCAUGCAAAAAUAUGCAAAACGUAGUAACAUAAUAGUGAGCCACUUAAUUUUUAUAUGGGUUGUAUGUUAUACAAAUUGUAAUUUAGCAAAACUCAAAAAUUAUACGAAAGAAAAAAUUUAUUAAUUUUCUUUUUAACUAAAUGAUUAGAAUACAUUUACUCAUAAUUACCAAAGCAAAAAUUAAGUCAUAAUUAAGGGCUUGUAAAACACUUAAUUUCAAACCACUAAUUUUGGGAGCUACAACAAUAAGAGGAGUUAAGCAACAAUUAAGUGCUUAUAAAUGAUAACUUUUAGUAUUCAAAAACUUACCACAAGCUCAAGCCCAUCUCAUAUGAAUAACGCUGUUGUGCGAUAGGGAUUACAAUUGUGUGACAAAUGACCCUUGAUAAAUUUAGACAACUAGUAGAAAUUAGAAUUUAAAUUCUUUAUUUUUAAGUUUUUCCAAUAUUUCAAUGUUAUUCUCACACAUUUAAUUAAAAUUAAAUAAAUCUUAAGAACAUAUAGAGACAUGUUUUUGUAAUAGGCCUAAAACGAAACUUUAGAAAAUACAUUUUUAUGUUAAUUUCUUUUAGGGUAAGUUUCGCCAUACCCUCUUAUUAAAUUGACACACUUCAAUUCACCCCCGAAAAGUGUGAAAACCUCAAUUACCCCCAAAAAAACUGCUGACUAAUGUUGACUGAUUGAAAUAGGAAAAUACCCCAACUUGUAAUGGGAAAUUUACGAAAAUAAUUAGUAGAUUAUAAAAGAUUACAUGUCUCUUCUUCUUUCUAUUUAAAUUCAACAAUAUUUAACUAUUAAUAAUAAAUUAAUUAUAGUUUUGAAACAUUCAUUUAUUUUAUUAAGCCAACAACUAAACUUUAGUGGUUUAAAAUACAUCAACUAAUUAAUAUAGGAAGGAAUGUUCUUUCAUCUUCCCUCACCAAUACCACUAGAACCUAAUUUUAAUGUCAUAAUUUCAUAUUUAAUUAUGCAACCUUUUAUUUAGUGUCUUUUGACUUCUUCAAACUAUAUAAAUAUUAAGUAUUUAAGAUUUAUUAUGUUUGAGUUUUUUUUAUUAUUUAACCAAUAUUCUCUUUAGAAAUGUUCUUGUGUUUUUAUUUUUUGACUUAUUUAAAUUUUUUGUAUUGUGUGCUUCAUGGAGUAUUCUUUUCUUCAUGAGUUAAACAAUGAUAAAGAUAUUUGGAUGAUAAGGGUUAGGCUUUGUAAAAUGUGGGAGUCUGUUAAUACCAAGAAGAAUGAAGAGUUGAUUAGUGUAAACAUAAUUUUUAUUGAUGAAAAGGUUGUGUACACUUAACUAUACACAUUAAUAUAUAUUUUUAAAGUUAAAAAAAUAAUUAACUUUCAUAAAUAACAUUAGUUUUAUAAGGCUACGUCAUCUUUAAAAAAAAUCAAUUCAUAUUUUUUAUCAAAUUUAUCAAGUGUAAAGUAAUAAAAAAAUAAUACUAAAUUUUUUUUUUAAAAUCGCACGAAGUGCGGUUCUAUUUCCUAGUAAGAUUAUAAUAGUAAAAGAAUUCAAUAAUUGCACUCUUAAUGUUACCAUUUAAAAAUUAUGAAAUAGGUAAUUUGGGAAACCCAUCUGGAGGGAUUUGCUUAACAUCCUUUAAAAUUUUUUCCCAGCUGGAAGUAAUUGCUGAACAUCCUUUUCAAUUCCCGAGUAUUAUCUAAUCAGCUUAUUUUGUCAUUUUUAGGUGUUUGCAAAGGCUUUUGGCAAGGAUACUGGGUUGGCUUACGUGUAGUGGACUGAUCAUGUUGACUUUGUUCGGUAGCACAUUUUAUUUUACGCGUGUCUAGUUGUAACCAUGUCUCUCACUGUAUACACCAGUGUGAGUGGGUCCACCUACUAUUUUAUGACAAUUUAUGUUAUACUGACAAUAUUAUUCGUGCUGAUCACAAGUUUGAAGUUUUGCUUCUCUCGAAGAACUGGCUCCUUUCAUUUAUUUAUUUAUUAAAAUUUACAUUUUUUUUCCGUUUCCUUGCAAGAAAGGUAAUUAGAUUAAAUUUAACGGGGCGAUGAUGUUUUCCAUUAAAUAAGUAAAACACAAUUUUAUGCCAGAGUAGAAAUGGCCAAUCAAAACAAGGGUUAUCCAUGUUCGUGCCAUGCCGUCGUGUGCUUAAUUUUUUUUUCUCGUACCUUGCCCAUAUGUGUUGUGUUGUGUCUAAAAAAAAGUUCAAUAAUUUUUUUUAGUUUUUUAAAAGCACGUACUAAGUAAUUGGUAUAUUUUUUUUAAGUUUAUGUUUUUUUUAGGUCUAUACCUUUAUUCAAAUUUAAUAGAAUUGAAAAUUUAAAACUCAAGUCUAUAUUUUAUAAUAAUAAACUAAUAAUAGUAAGAUAAUGUAAUAUUAAUUUUUAAGUUUGACAUUUUAACAUUAUUUUUUUUUAUACUUAACAACAACAACAAUAAUAAAUUUUUCUUAAGGGUUAACUUAAUUGUUAACUUAGACUUACAUAGAGUCAUAGAUCAUAAUUCACAAUAAUAUUAAUGGAUAUUUAUAAAAUCAUAAUAAUUAUAAUUUUAUUUAUUAAAAUCAUGAUAUCAAUUAUAUAUUUAAUAAAUUAUAAAUAUAAAUCAAUUAUAGUACUUUUUAAACUAAGAAUUAAAUGAAUUUAAAAAAUUCAUUUUCAAGUUAUUUGUAAAACUAUAAAAUUUUAAGUUUACUUUCAUUAAAAAAUAAAAUGUGCUUAUUGUGAACUUUUUUAUCGUGCUAUACUUAGUCCAUUUCUAAUCAUGUAGUGCUUUUAAUGCUCGUGUGCUUAAAAUUUUAAGUCUGGCCCAGUCCACGUGCGUACUGUGCCAUACCACAUACCCUACCAAAACGUGCUGGUAUUGUGCCGUACUGUACGAAUACAUGUCGUGCCAUGUGUCAUCUAGUCCAUUGGCCAUCUCUACGCCAGAGUGACAAUAUGCCACAUUGAGAAGAAUUGCGUGCCCCUAAAGCUGGAUUAAUAAUUUAAUUUGAAUUAAAUCUAUAACAGUUGUAGGCUAACCAAUAUUUCCACAGAAAAAAAGCAGUUCAAAAUUAUUGGUCACAUCUUGUCAUAAAUUUUUUAACUCUGCGCAGUUGGUGUAAUAGUUUCGGCUGCUAUUCUCUUCACUACUAGAGCCUAGAGAUGGAGUGAAGCAUAAUGGGAAUUAGGAAAAGAGAGCUGCUUCCUUACAAUUAGGCAGGCGCUAAGUUAUGGUUAACGUAACUUAGCGCCCACACACAGCAACAGUACCGCUGGUGGGGCCUGGUACUGUUGCUACGUAAGUUACAUUAAACGUAACUUAGGCCCUCCCUUACAAUUAACGUAAUGUUCUAGGUUAACAUAUCUAAUCAACUACGACUACAAUUCUAUUUCAUGGUCCCAACACAUCAUAUCAAUCAAUGUCAUUAUCGUUAUCAAAGCUAAAAAAUCACAGGAAAGAAAAAAGUUUUUGUUUUAGCUGAAUGAUUAGAUAUUGCAUUUACUCGUAAUUAGGGGUGUUCAGAAUCCAAUUCAAUCUACUCAAUCCAUUUGAUCCGUAGAAAUUCGAUAUGUAAAAAUUCGAUAUGCGGAUUGGUGGAUUGGAUUGAAAAUUUAAUAAUCCACAAUCAGUGGAUUAGAUAUGAAUCUACUUAUGUAAUUCUGUAAAAAUCUGUAAAUCCGCAAAAAAAUAAAAAAUUUUAUUUAAUUAAAAAAUAAAACUUGUAAAUAUGACAUUAGUACUUACUAGUAAAUAAAUACAUUAAAAUAUAGUUACAUUAACACUAUAUUAUAUCUUAUCUGAUAAUAAUAUAAAAUAAACAAAUUAAAUAAACAAAUAUAGCUUCCUAAAUAGUUAAUUUCCAUAUAUUGAUCUAAACAAAUGAGAUUUUAUUUUCUUUUUGAUGUGUUAUAGUUUGAAACUUUCUAGUUUUAUUUAAACAAUUAAUUUAUUUAAAUCUUAUUUAAUUUUAAAUUUGAUCGGUAGUAAAAUUAUUUUUAUAUUAAAUUUUUUUAUUUAGUUAGUUCGUGUAUUAGACAGAAUUAAAAAUUUUCAGUCUGUAAACUAAUUAGCAAAAUGGUGGAUUGGAUAUGAAUUGAGUCAAAUUCAUAUCUGAUCCGUAGACGUAUGUAUUGGAUUUAAAUUGAAUUUUAUCAAUCCGUGAAUUAGAUUAAAUUGAAAAUUUAUAAUCUAAAAAAUCGUAGAUCGGAUAUAGAUUGAUGUCCAAUCUAUACAAUUCGAUCCGCGAACACCCCUACUCGUAAUUAAGAAAGCAGAAAUUAAGCAAUAAUUAAGGGUUUAUAAAACAUUUAAUUUCAUACCACUAAAUAUGAGAGUUAUAACAGCGAGAGAAGUUAGGUAAUAAUUAAGCGCUUAUAACUGACAACUUUUACUCUAGGUAAAAGACUUAUGUGUUCUAUAACUAACCACAAACUCAUCACAUAUGAAUAACACUACGUGUUUACUGUGCCGUACCGCAUAUCUUACCAAAACGUACUCAUAUGGUGUCGUACUAUACCGAUACAUGCCGUGGCAUGUGUCAUCCACUCCAUUGGCCAUCUCUGCCCCAAAGUGACAAUAUGCCGCACAAGAAUUGCGUGCCCCUAAAGCUGGAUUAAUAAUUUAAUUUGAAUUGACGUCUAUAACAGUUGUAGGCUUAACCAAUAUUUCUACAGAAAAAAUUGGUUCAGAAUUACUGGUCGCGUCUUGUCAUAAAUUUUUUAACUCUGCGCAGGCGGUGUAAUAGUUUCGGCUGCUAUUCCUUUACCGCUAGAGCCUAGAGAUGGAGUGAAGCAGAAUGGGAAUUAGGAAAAUGGUAAUGUUCUACGUUAACAUACCUAGUCAACUACGACUACAAUUCUAUUUCAUGGUCCCAACACAUCAUAUCAAUCAAUGAACAUCAUAUCAAUCAAUGCUAUUAUGGUUAUCAAAGCUAAAAAUUCACGGGAAAGAAAAAAAAAAAUUUUUUUUUUAGCUGGAUGAUUAGAUUACAUUUUCUCGUAAUUAAGAAAGCAUAAAUUAAGUAAUAAUUAAGGGUUUAUUAAACACUUAAUUUCAUACCACUAAAUAUGAGAGUUAUAACAGUGAGAGAAGUUAGGUAAUAAUUAAGAGCUUAUAACUGAAAACUUUUACUAUAGGUAAAAGACUUAUGUGUUCUAUAAGACUAUAACUAACCACAAACUCAUCACAUAUGAAUAACACUAUUGUGCAAUAGACAUUACAAUUGUGUGACAAAUGACCAUGAAUAACACUAUUAUGCGAUAGGGAUUAUAAUUGCGUGAUAAAUGAUUCUUGAUAAAUUUAAACAACUAAUAGAUAUUAAAAUUUAAAAUUUUUAUUUUUAAGUUUUUCCAAUAUCUCAAUGUUAUUCUCACACAUUUAAUUAAAACUAAAUAAAUUUUAAGAACGUAGAAGAACAUAUCUCACUUACGAGUUUAGAUAGGCCUAAAACCAAACUUUAGAAAACACAUUUUUAUGUUAAUUUCUUUCAUAAAUUUUGCGUUUGACAAGAUAAAAAUAUAUAACAGAUAACCAAACCAAAACUUUUCACGAAAUAAAUAAUUAAUUAGUUAAUCCAAAAGUACUUUGGUUAAUGUGUAGAAUGGGUUGAAUAAAGUAAUUUUAUUUUUGAACAAAAUUUAGUCCAUUCUAAUUUCACUCCUCAAUGGAAGUUCUUUCCACCUUUCGGCUAAUGGACUCUCGCAAUUUAGCGUUAUUAUUAUUAUUACUAUUAUUAUUGGUUAUAAUUUUAAAAUUUAUUGGGAAUUUUGCGGAAGAGUAUGGCGAUUUGAACCCAAAAUUUUGCUUUCUACACCCAUUUUCUCAACACACCCACAACAUAAAUUUGAAAAAUAAAAUUAUACUCUAUGAAUCCUUCAAAAAUCCAAAAAUAACCCUAUAUUAUCUUCACUUUUUUCUUCCCUCCCCCUUCUUAUACAGUAUUGAAUGGUGACAGCAACUUUGAUUCACCUUGCUAAUAUUAAAAACUAUCCUAAUUGACAAAUCCAUGAAGAAAUAAACUUUGAUGACGUGCACCAAUAAAUUGAAAAUUUUGAGCCAACAACAAAAUACUGAAUAUAUUACGGAUGGGUUUACAUUGAAAUUGUCCAUUUCUUUUUCAUCCAUUGCCUUUCACGAAAAUCUUUAUAAUUUCAUAUUAUAACUGCAAGAUGCAAAAAAUUCUUCAUGUUUUUUCAUCUAUCGCCAUAAUUGCCAUAGAGUUCAUUAGCUUAAUUAACUAUUAGUUAUACAUAUCAAGGAGUCUAUUUUUCCUUUAAGUCUUGAAUCAUCAAAUUCAAAUAUUUCUAUUGUUCGAUUUUUCUAUCUGAUUGUGUAUUUUCAUGAGAUGCAGAAAAUUAUUUUUAGCUUAUGCAGAAUUUUCAUUUUCUCAGCAACUAAGUUUUUUUUUUUUUUUUUGGUCUGUCCUUAAUGGUAAUUGUCAUAAAGGGUAAUUUGACAAUAAAAGUUUUUGUGAAAUUAUGGGUGUAAAGAGUUGUUUUGUGGGUUUAAAUAGUCCCACCCUUUGCGGAAUUAUAUAUUAAACAUCUAAAUUAAUAGUAUGUAUGAAAUAAAUGGCAUCCAACACAAAUAUAAAUACAUUUGCAGUUGUGACUGUUGAGCCAACUUGAUUUGCAAUGCUUUUAGGGAUAUUGUGCCCUGAAAAUUAAUCAAAACUACUUGUGAAAAGGCGAUUUGAACUCAAAAUUUUGCUUUCUACACCCAUUUUCUCAACACACCCACAACAUAAAUUUGAAAAAUAAAAUUAUACUCUAUGAAUCCUUCAAAAAUCCAAAAAUAACCCUAUAUUAUCUUCGUUCACUUUUUUCUUCCCUCUCCCUUCUUAUACAGUAUUGAAUGGUGACAACAACUUUGAUUCACCUUGCUAAUAUUAAAAACUAUCCUAAUUGACAAAUCCAUGAAGAAAUAAACUUUGAUGAUGUGCACCAAUAAAUUGAAAAUUUUGAGCCAACAACAAACUACUGAAUAUAUUACGGAUGGGUUUACAUUGAAAUUGUCCAUUUCUUUUUCAUCCAUUGCCUUUCACGAAAAUCUUUAUAAUUUCAUAUUAUAACUGCAAGAUGCAAAAAAUUCUUCAUGUUUUUUCAUCUAUCGCCAUAAUUGCCAUAGAGUUCAUUAGCUUAAUUAACUAUUAGUUAUACAUAUCAAGGAGUCUAUUUUUCCUUUAAGUCUUGAAUCAUCAAAUUCAAAUAUUUCUAUUGUUCGAUUUUUCUAUCUGAUUGUGUAUUUUCAUGAGAUGCAGAAAAUUAUUUUUAGCUUAUGCAGAAUUUUCAUUUUCUCAGUAACUAAGUUUUUUUUUUUUUUUGGUCUGUCCUUAAUGGUAAUUGUCAUAAAGGGUAAUUUGACAAUACAAGUUAUUGUGAAAUUAUAGGUGUAAAGAGUUGUUUUGUGGGUUUAAAUAGUCCCACCCUUUGCGGAAUUAUUUAUUAAACAUCUAAAUUAAUAGUAUGUAUGAAAUAAAUGGCAUCCCACACAAAUAUAAAUAAUAAUUUUACUUGAAUUAAACACCCAAAUCCUAUAUUAUAAUAUUAUGCGUAAGAAAAUUUACACAUACUAUCAUUUUAUUAAAAUUUGGACUAGCUGAAGAAUAUUAUUCAUUCAGAUUUAUCAACCAUAAGUCACUUUGUUAAACCAUGAUUAUUGUAGAAUGAAAAAUCAUUCUUGUCAAGUAUAAAUGGACGAACUGUUUAUUGUCAACCUUUAUAUAGUUGUAUAAAUAAUUAAUCUUUGUAUAACUUAAAAUUAUUGUUUAUUCUAUCAGUCUUAAUGAAUUGGAAGUAGAUGAUUUUAAUUUGCAAAUGGUUUGGCUUCCAUCUUUGUAACUAUUUUAUUAUUUAAAAAAAAAAAGCUCACUAAACAAAUAAAGUUGACCAAAGUAUUCUCUAAAUGCCGACUGCUUUAGUUAACAAAGCUCAAAAACUUUUAAGAAGAAUUGGGCCUGAAGUAAAUCCUUGAUUAUAGGCAAACUGUUAACCUUCAAAAACCAUUUAAAUUGCCUUUCUUAACCCAAAAGUAUCCUAAUCCAAUGUUUGCCAAAUGAUCUCGAACCAAGUCAAAUUAUCCAACUCAUAACUAAAUAGAGGAGAGAAUAUUUUAACGAGGUCAAAUAGUUUCACUUUAUUAAUAAUUUAGUAGAAACCUAAUGAAAGUGAGGGUAUUGGAGUCUCUGCUUUCUUUGUAUUUGAGAGUAUUUUUAUUUAUUUAUUUAUUGUUUUAGAUUUCUGUGCUGUAUUUAUCUUUUUUUUUUCAAAAAAAAAAAUCCUCUAAAACAUUUUACAAAUUCCAUGCGAAUUAUGGAAGAACUUCGGCAUUCUUUAUUUUCUAUAUAUGCGGAUACAAGUAACAUGGAGAGAGGUUCACAAGAAACCUCUUUGAUUAUUAUUAUUAUUAUUACUUAGCUCCGAACUUUGCAUGAAGAGCCUUCACUACAUAUGGAUAUGGAUCAAGUUGGAAUGCCCUGGCAAGAGAAAAAAGGAUCAGUUAGUGGAUCGGAUCUAAAGACUGCAUUGGAAUAAUUUUCAAAGUAAAUGAUGUAUUAUUAUAAAGACAUGUCUAAUUAAUUAUGCUUUAUAGAAGAGCUAGCUUUCCACCUAAGGACACAUCCAUUAAUGGUGGCACUUCAUUUGGAAUGGUGAUGGUUUAAUUUGAACUGUUGAUUAAGAUCAAAUCUUGAUCCAAUGGCCAUAAAUAAAAUGUUAUCAUGAAAGGUGACUACCUAAAUGGAAGGGCACAAGUACAUCUAUAAAUAUAGGCCAUGUUUAGGUCAUUUAAACAUGAAAUUAAUGAUCAUAUACCAAUCUUUUCUUAGCCCUCUUUCCUAAAACGAAUUUUAUCAUAUAACAUCUAUUUUUACGCAUCAAAUGUUUAAUAUAUUGUUUACUGCAGGAACAUUAUAUUGAUUCUUGAUAGUCUUGCAACAUUCAAAAGUUUUCAGAUUUGCUUUUGUCAAUGCACAAUGCAAACAAACAAAUAACGCUUCAUUAUAUCCUAGACGCGUGUUUGCUUAAUCCAUGUAUAUCACUCACUCAAUUGGUGGGGCAAAUAACAUCUUAAGAAAAACAACAUUUAUAAUGUGCAUUGAAGUACACAUUUUUUUUUCUGCAAUUUUACAUGUUACUAUUAUUUUCUUUGCACCUAUAAAGUUGUACACACAUUACUUUAUUAUAAUAAAAUCUACCAUUAUUACUGCAAUUCUCUACAUUUGCCAUUUCGCACAAAUAUAUACUGCAACAAUCUUAAGACGCCAUUUGUUCAGCAAUGGCACCAAGUUUAUCUCUUCGACAAUUUGCAAUUCAUUUUGUCAAAUAAGAGCGAUUCGACGGUGGCAACUUUGCACAUCAGUAGAAAAAUUUGCAUUUCUUGUUGACAAGCCUUAAUGUGGUUUAUGUUCUCACAAUACCAUAGCCUCAAGAAUGUGAGGAUGAGAUAUUAGCAGAAGCUAGAGCACAAUAGAAGUAGGAGCAAGAUGACUACAUUUGCAAGGGAGAAAUUUGCAACGCCAUAUCUGAUAUUGUAUCACAACAAACCCACAAUAAAAGAAAUAUGCGACUUAUUGGAGAUUAAGUACAUGAUGGAAGAUGCCACAAGUAUGAAAUCCUUGGCUUCUAAAUUUUUUAAUUAUAAAAUGGUUGAUAAUGGACUUGUGGUUGAAUAAUAUAUUGAGAUUUUGCAUAUUCUUUAUCAAUUCAACCAAGACAACAUGAAGAUGGACGAGCCUUUUAUUGUUUCUUCAAUUAUUGAUAAACUCCCUCCCUAUUAGUAAGACAUAGGAAAAGUCUUAAACAUAACAAAGAGAAAAUUAGCCUGAAAGGUUUAAGCUAAAGUUUUUGUAUUGAAAAUGAACUCAAACUAUAUAAUCUUGAGGAAUAAGCUGCUACGUCCUCUAAAAUUAAUGUUGUGGAGGAGGGGAAGAAGCUUAAGCAUUCUAAUUACCCUAAGAAUAACCAAAAGAGAAAGUUUGAUUCGAAAGAGAAUCAAAAUAAUAAGAAGAAAAAAAAAGGUACAUGUCACUACUGUAAAAAGCUUGGCCACUUCAAAAAAUAUUAUCAACUUCUUAAGAAACAAAAAGAAGUUUCGAACACAAUUUUGCGGCCAUGAUAUUGAGAUUCAUGUUCUUGAAGAUGAUAAUGCAUGGUGGAUAGAUUCUAAUGCAACCAAGCAUGUGUGCAAAGAUCAUAGCCUUUUCACAUCUUACAAAGUAAUGGAUGAUAGGAAUGUUCUUUACGUGGGAAAUUCCUUCAUGCAGCAAUUAAAAGAAAAGGCAACGUACAACUAGAGUAUAUUUAUGGAAAAAUCUUAACUCUUACUGAUGUUUAUCAUAUACCUAAAGUUAAGAAGAAUCUUGCAUUUGGUUGCCUCAAUAAAUUUGGCUUCAAACCUGUAUUUGAGUAAAAAAUAAUUUAUAUUGUCUAAGGAUGCAUGUAUGAGGGAAAGUUUAAACUCAUUAAUAAAAUGAAUGUUUCUUCUACUUACAUGAUUGACUCAUUAUUUUUGUGGCAUAAUUGUUUAGGACAUGGGAAUAUUAGAAGAUUGCAUGAUAUAGCUAAUUUAGAAUUAAUUCCUAAACAUGAAAAUGAUAUGCAUGAAAAAUGUAAAGUGUGUGCGUAGACUAAAAUCACAAGAACUCCUUUUCCAACAAUUGAAAAAAUAUAUUCUUUGAUGCAUUUAAUUCAUAGUGAUAUAUGUGACAUGCAUAGUAAUCCUACUAAAGGUGAUAAAAAAUAUUUUGUAAUGUUUAUUGAUGAUUUUUCAAAAAUAUUGCUAUGUAUAUUUAUUACCUUCUAAAGAUCAAGUGUUAGCCAAAUCCAAAAUUUAUAAAAAUCAAGUUGAGAAUUUUUAUGACAUUAAAAUUAAAUGCAUCAGAAGUGAUAAAGGAAAUGAAUAUGCAUUUUCUGAAUUUUGUGAAUCUAUUGGCAUUGUGCAUGAAACUAGUAUUGGAUAUACACGACAACAAAAUGACAUAUCUAAAAGGAAGAAUAGGACGCUAAUAGAAAUGGUUAAUGUUAUGAUUUUUAAUGUUGGGCUUGGUAAAGAUUUUUGCGAUGAAGCUCUUUUAACUAAAUGUCAUAUCUUGAAUGGUGUGCCUAAUAAGAAAACAAAAGCGAUCCCUUAUGAAUUAUGAAAAAAUAGAAAGCCUAAUCUUUCACUACUACAAAAUUAGUCAAUAAUGACGGUUCUAAACGACAUAAAAUGACGGUUUUAAAACCGUCAUCUUAGGCAGCGACAUUAAAAGGAGUAUACUUUUUAUGACAGUUCAAUAACCGUCAUUAAAUGUAUAUUUUUAAUGACGGUUAUUUUCUAAAACAGUCAUUAUUUAUAGUAACUAUGUAUGUUUUCAUGAUGGUUAUUUCGUAUAACCGUCAUUAAAUAUAUACAUUUAAUGACGGUUAUAUGAAAUAACCAUUAUUAAAUAUACUUUUUCAUUAAUUUUUUAUGACGGUUCUUUUAAAAAAAAAACCAUCAUUAAAUCCAUCAUUUUAAUGACAGUUUAUUGUAAAAACAUCAUUAAAUAUUAAAAUAACAUUUAAUGACGGUUUAAAAAAAGAACUGUCAUCUUUGUUGUUAAAGACUACAUUUAACGACGGUUCUUUUCAAAUAACCGUUAUCAUUGUUGUUAAUUAUUAAAAAAAAAAUAUGACAAUUUCAGAACCAUUUGAAGCCCAUAUUUUAAUUCUAAUUUCCUGUUAAAUUAUUUACAAUUUUUUUCCACAAAUGUUUCAUAUACAAAAAGAUAGCUCUACAAAAAUCUCUAAUAGUCAUUGAAUUUCAACAAAAUAUCAAUUAGCUUUAACAUCAAAAUUCUCACAACUCUUUAAUACCUACUAAUGAAUCUACUCACAACCAACAAAAUUGGCAUGUGUGAGUACAUCUAAUUUCUCAUCAAGUUUUCAAUUGCAAACGAAUCUCACCACCUUUAGCAAUCUACAUCAUUCUUACAAAGAAUAAAUCAAAAUUAAGAUAAAUUCAUAGAUUAUAAGUCAUAAUAAUUAAAUCAUUUUUAGUGACUUAAGUUGCAAACAAAACUUUAAAGUACCAAAUCAUUAUUAAUUAAUAGACUUACAUUAAAUUUAUCAACCAUGUGUUUAUGUAGUAACAAGUUGCUAUGUAUACAUGUAGGCCACUCGCAUUUAACUUUAUCAAUUUCUCCUUGAGUGUAAAUUUCAAUUCUGUACAAAUAAAAAUUAAGAAGUAUAUUACUCUAGUUCCAAACUACAAAAAUAAGUAUUUGAUAAUAAACGACAAUACAUUUUCCAAAAUAGAGAAAAUCACAAAGCUUUUAAGCUUCUAAAUCACAAAUUAUAGGUAAAGCAAUUUAGAAUUGAAAUAUACUAUAGCAAUGAUGACUUACAUCCGCUAUUUGCAUAGACUAUCACUCAAAUCUAGUGAUUCGAUAUUCUCAAUUGAUGAAAAUAUGAACAUGUCUAAAACAAAUCUUGCAUGCUAACACAAUAAUAAAUAUUGAAAAAAGAAUUUGUACCUUUGCCCCUGGUCAAUUUGAGGUACCAAGCUCGGCCUGUUAAAUUCAUUACAAUUUUUUUCCACAAAUGUUUCAUAUACAAAAAGAGAGCUCUACAAAAAUCUCUAAUAGUCAUUGAACUUCAACAAAAUUUCAAUUAGCUUUAACAUCAAAAUUCGCACAACUCUUUAAUACCUACUAAUUAAUCUACUCACAACCAACAAAAUUGGCAUGUGUGAGUACAUCUAAUUUCUCAUCAAGUUUUCAAUUGCAAACGAAUCUCACCACCUUUAGCAAUCUACAUCAUUCUUACAAAGAAUAAAUAAAAAUUAAGAUAAAUUCAUAGAUUAUAAGUCAUAAUAAUAAAAUCAUUUUUAGUGACUUAAGUUGUAAACAAAACUUUAAAGUACCAAAUCAUUCUUAAUUAAUAGACUUACAUCAAAUUUAUCAACCAUGUGUUUAUGUAGUAACAAGUUGCUAUGUUAUCCAUGUAGGUCGCUCGCAUUUAACUUUAUCAAUCUCUCCUUGAGUGUAAAUUUCAGUUCUGUAAAAAUAAAAAUUAAGAAGCAUAUUACUCUAGUUCCAAACUACAAAAAUAAGUAUUUGAUAAUAAACGACAAUACAUUUUCCAAAAUAGAGACAAUCACAAAGCUUUUAAGCUUCUAAAUCACAAAUUAUAGGUAGAGCAAUUUAGAAUUAAAAUAUACUAUAGCGAUGAUGACUUACAUCCGCUAUUUGCAUAGACUAUCACUCAAAUCUAGUGAUUCGAUAUUCUCAAUUGAUGAAAAUAUGAACAUGUCUAAAACAAAUCUUGCAUGCUAACACAAUAAUAAAUAUUGAAAAAAGAAUUUGUACCUUUGCCCCUGGUCAAUUUGAUAAUGAUCUCAAAAAUUUUGAUGGCCAUGAGAAAAUUAACUAACGACCAACGCUUUAUUAUUGAUGUUGUCGGAGGAUUACCAAAUUGAGAAGGAAAUGCUAAAUUCUUGAAUGGCGUUGAGAACUUAAAAAUCUGAAAUGGAACAUUUAAAAUAGAAAGUAAAUAUAAUUAUCAAUACUCAAAGAUAGUCCACGCUUUAUUGCUUAAAAACUUGAGUGGAAAAACCCAGCAAAAAAGAAAAGCAAAAACAGUGCAAUUUCACUGGUAUUUUUGCUGCUGUCAUGCAGUAAAAACAUAGUAGUCUUACUGCAAAGUUUUUGCAGCUGUUUUGACUGUAUAACAGCGGGCAAAAACAGCAAAAGAAACUACAAUUUGGCUGCUGUUUUUACUGUUGUCAUGCAGUAAAAUAGAGCAGUCUUGCUGCAAAGAUUUUGCAGCUGUUUUGACUGUACAACAACAGCAAAAAGAACUAUAAUUUGGCUGCUGUUUUUACCGCUGUCAUGCGGUAAAGCAGAGCUGCUGUUUUGACUGUAUAACAGCAGGUAAAACAGAAAAAAAAACUGUAAUUUGGCUGCAGUAAAAACAACAGAAAAACUAUAAUUUGGCUGCUGUUUUUACUGUUAUCAUGCAGCGAAAAUACAGCAGUCUCACUGCAAAAAUUUUACUGCUGUUCUUACUGUAUAAAAAUAGCAAUACAUCACCUUAAAUAAGAGAAAAAAAUUCUUUCAGCUACUACACAUUUAAUUUAAUUUAACUUAAAUCCUUCAUAUUGUAGACUGAGAGAUUGAUUCUAUAGAAUAAAGAGAAAUUAAGAUAAUUCAUAUAUUAUAAGCCAGUAUCUUCACCAUGACUGGCAACUUCCACAAGCAAUUGCUCUUUUCCAUGAGGACUCAUCAGAACUGAAUAAGCAAACAACACCAUUAUAAAAGAAUGAAUAUAUGUCUGAUAUGAAAUGAGCAAAACCUAGGUUAUGAGCAGCACAUAAAUGCAAAAAGAAAAAGGGAAUGUCUUUCUCUGUAAAUACAUGUAGAUAGAUGUUUGCAGAUGCAUGCAAGGGAAAAAAGAAUGUCUUUCUACAUUCUCAAGGCUCCAAUUGAAGCACUAACAGGUACAUUUAUGCAAAAAUAUAAGAAGAAAAAUAAUGUAUGAUACCUGUAGUCCCUGAGGAGUAAGCAAAUGUAUUUCGAUACGUGUACAUUUCCUGAAAGAAGAUUGAACUAUAAAUAGACUGCCAAUGGAUCAAAAUGCACUUUCAACACAAAAUCCAAUUAAAUUUGAAGAUGGCGCAAAACAAUUAGUUGAAAAUUGUACUCGUGACACCGGAAUGAAUCGCAUAACAAUUCUUUCACAGAGCUUUCAGCAACCAUAUAGCUCAAAAAUCAGAUAGCAGCAUACACUAAAUGGGAACAAUUUUUUUUAUCAAUUACAUUAGUAUAAGUCCAAUGCAGGGAAAAAAAUGCACUUUCAAAAUGAAUUACAACUUAAUAACAACAACAAUCAACUAAAAUGUAAGCAAGAAUCAUAGACAAACAAUUUAUAAACCAAAUGAGAUGAAAAUUUCUUUAUUAAAUUAAUAGAAGGUCAGUUGACAGGAAAUAAAGAGAACAAACAAUAAUUGGAUGAAUCAAAACCCCAGAGCAAGAAAAUACAAUAAGAAGGAAGCAUCUGAAACAAGAAAAUGAAAUCAACAGCUCACUGUCUCCCGCGGCCGGCGCGAUGGCUACGGUUGAACGAGCUACAAUGACAACUGCUGUCGAUGAGGUAGCUGAAUCACGAUCAUUGCCGCGAACUAGCUAGGACUCUGAAUCACGACCACGAUCUGCCCUACGAGCUAAUAAAAAAAAUUGAAUCGAUUGGCAGCAGUGGAUGGUGCGUGACUGAUGGGCUGACGAUAGUGAAAUUGACAGAGUGAGACGAUGAGACUGGAGAGGGAGAUGGUGAGACCGUGAGAAAGAGAGAGAGAGACCAACGAUGCAGAGAGUGAAAGUGAGCAUGAAAGAGAGAGAGACCGGAGAUGGAGAGAAUGAGAGUGAGCGUAAGAGACAGAGAGACCGAAGAUGGAGAGGAGAGUGAGCGGGUGAGAGAGGGGGGCGUGGCUGCUGCUGUGCUUGUAGAAUUAGACAGGGGGAUUGCCACUUUCCCCCUACAUAAAUUAACAUAUAUUAUUUAUCCUUCUAUUAUUUUUAUAAUGACUAAAAAUUCUUAUGAUAGGAUAAGUUUACAAUAUUAUUUUUAUUUUUAAUUAUUCUUUUAUUUAUAUUUAUUAUAAAUUAAAUAGAUUACAUGAAUAGAAACUAAAUAAAAAAUUAAGUAUUAAAAACAAGAAAUAUAUGUUUUGAUAUGAGCAAAAAAAUUAAUAAUAACUUUUUUUUAUAAUUAUUUAUUUUGUGAACAUUUUCUUAUAAUAAAUAUUCUGCUAUAUUUUAAAAUUAAAUGUAAAAAGUAUAGGUAAAAUAUUUUAUUAUUUAUCUUAUAAUAAAUUUUUAUUUGUCANNNNNNNNNNNNNNNNNNNNNNNNNNNNNNNNNNNNNNNNNNNNNNNNNNNNNNNNNNNNNNNNNNNNNNNNNNNNNNNNNNNNNNNNNNNNNNNNNNNNNNNNNNNNNNNNNNCCGUACAGCAGUUUCCUAUAAUAAUUUUUUUAUCAUUUUAUAAUAAUUUUCUUAUAUAUUUAUUAUAAGAAACUUUUCACAAAAUAAAUAAGUACAAGAAAAAAAUUUUAUUAUUAAUUUUUUUCUCAUAUCAAAACAUAUAUUUCUUUUUUUAAUGCUUAAUUUUUUAUUUAGUUUCUAUUAAUAUGAUUUAUUUAAUUUAUAAUAAAUAUAAAUAAAAGAGUAGUUGAAAAUAAGGGUAAUAUUGUAAACUUAUAUUGUCAUGGAGGUUUUUGGCCAUUAUAAAAACAACAUUGGUGAAAAUGGUAUAUGUUCAUUACUGUAGGGGGGAAAUUGGCAAUCUCCCAAUUAGAAAUUAGGUCACGAUUUUUUUUUAGCCGAUUAAGAUUUUUUUUAUAAAUGUUUUACAUAUAAUGACAGUUACAUCCAAAACCGUCAUUGUUAUUUUUUACUUAAAUGACGGUUCUUUACAACCGUCAUUAAUACUUUAAUAAGACAUAUAAUGGCAGAUUUUUAUAUAUAGUCGUAGUUAAAAAUCAGGUUAUAUUUUAUUUUGAUGUUUAAUGACAGUUAUAUAAUAGAACCGUUAUUAUAAAUAUUAUAUUUUUAAUGACAGUUUUUACACAAAAUCGUCAUUAAAAGUAACUAAAAGUAAAACUAUAUUUUAACUUGACACUUAAUGAUUGUUAUAUAAUUUAACCGUCGUUGUAAAUAUUACACAUUAAUGACUAUUUUUAUACAGAACUGUCAUUAAAAGUAAUUUUACCUAGACAUUUAAUAAUUGUUAUAUAAUAAAAUGGUCAUUGUAAAUAUUAGAUAUUAUGACGAUUCAUAUAAUAACGGUUAUCAAAUACUUUUAAUGACGGUUGUAAAGAAAAACCGUCAUAAUAUAUGAGUCAUUGUUUUGCAUUUUUGUAGUCGUGUUUUUACCCAAGGGUUUGGGGUUAAUUCACUAUAAGAAAACAAGUAAUAGAUGACAGACAGUUUGUGACAGAUUCGUAAAAAAAUUAUUUAUAUUAUAAAAAUAUGAUAGACUCGUGAUAUAAUUUCAGUUCUGGAUUAAUGAUGAUUUUAUGAUAAAAUUAUUGUCUAUCAAGAAUUCAUUUAUACAAAUUUAUUCCAUCAAGAAAUUAUGGUAAUUUCAAUAUAAUUUGUGCUGCUACUUAAUUAUUCAUUUUUUUCCCACUUUGUGUCUGUAUGUGUGUGUGUUCUUGUAGUGUUUGUGAACGGGAAGUUCUGCAAGGACCCCAAGCUUGCGAGAGCUGAAGAUUUCUUCUUCUCAGGGCUAGACAAGCCUGGCAACACAGCAAAUUGACUUGGUGUUGAUGAAACAGAUGCAAAUGUUUAGCAGAUUCCAGGACUCAACACCCUUGGCAUAUCAGCAUUCCGCAUUGACUAUGCGCCAUACGGCCAAAGGCCACCUCACAUUCACCCCCGUGCCAGUGAAAUCCUGCUGGUCCUGGAAGGAACUCUUCAUGUCGGUUUUGUGACAUCAGACCAGCUAAAUAACAAACUCAUCGCACAAGUUCCAAAGACCGUGUCGGCUAUGGUAAUUUCACCGGGGAACUGGCUGUUUAGAGCAGAAUAGGCAACUGCUUUUGUUUUUCCAAUGUUAAAUUGGAAGUAAAUCAAACCUUUUGGAAACACAAAAACAUCUCCCUUAUUCAGAACUUUUGCGAUGAGUUUGUUAUUUAGCUGGUCUGAUGUCACAAAACCGACAUGAAGAGUUCCUUCCAGGACCAGCAGGAUUUCACUGGCAUGGGGGUGAACGUGAGGUGGCCUUUGGCCGUAUGGCGCAUAGUCAAUGCGGAAUGCUGAUAUGCCAAGGGUGUUGAGUCCUGGAAUCUGCUCAACAUUUGCAUCUGUUUCAUCAACACCAAGUCGAUUUGCUGUGUUGCCAGGCUUGUCUAGCCCUGAGAAGAAGAAAUCUUCAGCUCUCGCAAGCUUGGGGUCCUUGCAGAACUUCCCGUUCACAAACACUACAAGAACACACACACAUACAGACACAAAGUGGGAAAAAAAUGAAUAAUUAAGUAGCAGCACAAAUUAUAUUGAAAAUUAUAUGUUUCAUCAGUUCAGCUUAUGUACCACCAUCCUUGGGGUCAUUGAUGGCUACAAAGAUAUCUUGAAGCGGGCUGGGGUCAGAGGCUGAGGCCAAAGAAGAAGCCAAAGCUAAGAGAGCAAAACCUAUAAGAAAUUGAAUUGCCUUCAUGGUGAUUAAUUAACAGGAUGUACCUAUCUCAAAACUUUAAUCAAGUGUUGUGAUUUGAGAAUCUUGGGAGGGAAACUAGACUAUUUAUAGAACGGAGUCCAUGAACGAGUUUGUGUGUUCAAUUAAUAGUCCUCGAAGCAGGUCAAGACUUGCUGAGUCCUCAGUGCUUAUCUUUGUAAUGUUUUGCGGUCCUCAUUUUCGUUUUUCUUUUUAAAAUUUACGUGUAGAACUUGUUCGGUGGUACACAUCUUAAAUAUAAAUAGCAAACAUACGAAACAAAGUCUGGCUGAUAGUGAUAAAAUCCAAAACAGGUUAGACACGUUUGCGCCAAUCUUCAAAACGAACCGUAAAAUAUAAUAAGAAACAAUAUUUUACGCAUUUUCCAAAGCAUAAUUAAAAUAUAAUUUUUUUCAUUGGAAAGAAACGAAUUGAAGAAUUUAUGAAAAUGGGUGAGAAAGAAAUUCAUGUCUCUGGCAAGCAGACUAGCAGUUGGACGUCGUGUUCUGUAGAUAUCGAUGUUACCGGACUUGUUUGGUUUGUUGUUGGGCUUAAUGAAGAAGCAUUAUUAGCCUUUUUUCCUUUUUCAUAGCAAUUUUCGUAGCUGCUUUAACCAUUUUUAGUUCUAUAAAUGCUUUACGAAGUCAAUGAUGCACAUGUUUUUUUCAUUACGUGUUAAAGUCACAGAUCAUCUGCUUCAAAACGUUAAGACUAGGAUCAGGAGGAACCAAAUUCUUCCAUCUUAUUUUCAGCGGUCACGUUAAUUAGAGCCUGGAGUCGGCACGUUUCGUUAGUGAUAUCCUUUUACAAUGUCAAUUGAUAUAUAUCAUUUCAACUUUAAAAGCUAAUUUUAAUAUUGAAUAAUUUUUUUUAAAAAUCCCUUUUAGUAAAAUCAUGUAGAUUUUGAAAAGUAAAAAAAGAGUAGUUUUUUAAAAUUUUAUUUUGAUAAACACUUUUAUACUUAAUACAAUUUCAUAUAUAUCCUUAUAUAUAAGAGAAAAAUCCAAAAUCAUCCUUAUUAAUUAAAAAUAAAAUUAUUAAUUUGAAAGAGAUUAUUAUUAUUAUUACCAACUAUAUUGAGAUAACAAAAUAAAAAUAAAAUUAAUAAUAUAAAACAUUUAUUUUAGUUAUCAAUUAUUAUAUAGACACAACUAAAAAUAUUUUAUUUAUAUGUUUAUAAAUGUGUAAAUAAAUUUUAUUCAACAAAUUUUCUCUUCAAUCAUUUACAUUCUUACAUCAUUUUAAUAGUAAGAUUUACCAAAUAAAUACGACUACUUUUAGAACUCACAACAUUGUAGCAAAUGGCUAACCAAUUGUUGAAAACGACAAACUAAUAAUUUCCAGAAAGCAUGUUCUACAAAGGGUUGUUAAAAUGAUGAUUCUGAAAAAUAACGAUGAAUCGUUUACUGAAAACGGUGAUUCGAUAAUUUUUAGAUUGUAACUGUGAGCCAUUUAACAAGAACGGAUAGCCAAAAUUUGUUUUGCAAGUCUUUGGAAAUAAACAGCUAACCGAUAUUAUUAAUUUUUUUCUCAUAUCAAAACAUAUAUUUCUUUUUUUAAUGCUUAAUUUUUUAUUUAGUUUCUAUUAAUAUGAUUUAUUUAAUUUAUAAUAAAUAUAAAUAAAAGAGUAGUUGAAAAUAAGGGUAAUAUUGUAAACUUAUAUUGUCAUGGAGGUUUUUGGCCAUUAUAAAAACAACAUUGGUGAAAAUGGUAUAUGUUCAUUACUGUAGGGGGGAAAUUGGCAAUCUCCCAAUUAGAAAUUAGGUCACGAUUUUUUUUUAGCCGAUUAAGAUUUUUUUUAUAAAUGUUUUACAUAUAAUGACAGUUACAUCCAAAACCGUCAUUGUUAUUUUUUACUUAAAUGACGGUUCUUUACAACCGUCAUUAAUACUUUAAUAAGACAUAUAAUGGCAGAUUUUUAUAUAUAGUCGUAGUUAAAAAUCAGGUUAUAUUUUAUUUUGAUGUUUAAUGACAGUUAUAUAAUAGAACCGUUAUUAUAAAUAUUAUAUUUUUAAUGACAGUUUUUACACAAAAUCGUCAUUAAAAGUAACUAAAAGUAAAACUAUAUUUUAACUUGACACUUAAUGAUUGUUAUAUAAUUUAACCGUCGUUGUAAAUAUUACACAUUAAUGACUAUUUUUAUACAGAACUGUCAUUAAAAGUAAUUUUACCUAGACAUUUAAUAAUUGUUAUAUAAUAAAAUGGUCAUUGUAAAUAUUAGAUAUUAUGACGAUUCAUAUAAUAACGGUUAUCAAAUACUUUUAAUGACGGUUGUAAAGAAAAACCGUCAUAAUAUAUGAGUCAUUGUUUUGCAUUUUUGUAGUCGUGUUUUUACCCAAGGGUUUGGGGUUAAUUCACUAUAAGAAAACAAGUAAUAGAUGACAGACAGUUUGUGACAGAUUCGUAAAAAAAUUAUUUAUAUUAUAAAAAUAUGAUAGACUCGUGAUAUAAUUUCAGUUCUGGAUUAAUGAUGAUUUUAUGAUAAAAUUAUUGUCUAUCAAGAAUUCAUUUAUACAAAUUUAUUCCAUCAAGAAAUUAUGGUAAUUUCAAUAUAAUUUGUGCUGCUACUUAAUUAUUCAUUUUUUUCCCACUUUGUGUCUGUAUGUGUGUGUGUUCUUGUAGUGUUUGUGAACGGGAAGUUCUGCAAGGACCCCAAGCUUGCGAGAGCUGAAGAUUUCUUCUUCUCAGGGCUAGACAAGCCUGGCAACACAGCAAAUUGACUUGGUGUUGAUGAAACAGAUGCAAAUGUUUAGCAGAUUCCAGGACUCAACACCCUUGGCAUAUCAGCAUUCCGCAUUGACUAUGCGCCAUACGGCCAAAGGCCACCUCACAUUCACCCCCGUGCCAGUGAAAUCCUGCUGGUCCUGGAAGGAACUCUUCAUGUCGGUUUUGUGACAUCAGACCAGCUAAAUAACAAACUCAUCGCAAAAGUUCUGAAUAAGGGAGAUGUUUUUGUGUUUCCAAAAGGUUUGAUUUACUUCCAAUUUAACAUUGGAAAAACAAAAGCAGUUGCCUAUUCUGCUCUAAACAGCCAGUUCCCCGGUGAAAUUACCAUAGCCGACACGGUCUUUGGAACUUGUGCGAUGAGUUUGUUAUUUAGCUGGUCUGAUGUCACAAAACCGACAUGAAGAGUUCCUUCCAGGACCAGCAGGAUUUCACUGGCAUGGGGGUGAACGUGAGGUGGCCUUUGGCCGUAUGGCGCAUAGUCAAUGCGGAAUGCUGAUAUGCCAAGGGUGUUGAGUCCUGGAAUCUGCUAAACAUUUGCAUCUGUUUCAUCAACACCAAGUCAAUUUGCUGUGUUGCCAGGCUUGUCUAGCCCUGAGA